UUCUUUCAAUUCUAUUAAAAUUUGAGGAACCAUUUAAAAUAUUUACCACUCAAGACCAUCAUAGAUCAUAAAAUAUCAUUAAUAAACUCUAAUGUCAAUCCAUUUGUCAAUAUAUGUAUUAAAAUGCAAAAAAAAAAAAAAAAAAAGAUUACAUCUUUGAGUUAAUUUGUUCUACUUUGCAAGUUCUACGGUUGUGACCUUUACAGUUACAAUUAGAACAUGUUGAUGAACUUUUUAAUUCCUCUACGAAUGGAAUUCUGGGUCUUUCAACUUGACGUUUAACAAUAUAAGGUAAUGUUUUUAUGACAUCAUAUUCAACUCUCCAAUCCAAAUGAACUGUAACAAGUCAAACACAAGCACUUCAUGUUGCUGACAAUGUUUCCGCUCUAUGAUAAAACUUAGUUACAUAUGUGUAUAUCACACAUAAUAUUUGUUCUAUUACAUAUUGUGCAAUAAUAAUGUAGGCAUGUUUUGCAAACAGAAAAUGACAGUAGAUACAUUUAUUCCAAAUUGCAGGAAGAUUUUUUAUAAUGGGAAUUGGCAAAUUGUUGGUGCAUUGCAUAUUUGGAUUCAACUUCAAUCUAGAAUAAACAUAUGUUUCUAAUAAUCUUUUAGUCUAUGUCUUUUAAGGAAGAGUUAAUAUCAUUACUCGCUCAAAUUAUUCUGGAAAAAGUAUCUACGCAAAACAGGUAAACAAUUGUCAUUUUUCCUUUUUAGAAUGGUGUGCUAUCAUCCUAUCUCUCUCCCGCGUUAUUGCAUAUUUGGUAAAUUCAUUACAUAUCUUUGGUAUGUGUUGGAUUCAUUAGAUCAAAUUCCUAUUGUUCAUCUGUUAAAACUAUGCCUUUCCAGUCAUUUUGCGGUAGUGAUGCCUCUGAGAUUGCUAAAUGGGCUUUCACAAAACUAUUGUUCAUUACAUAUCUUUGGGGAACAAGCAUAUGAUCGUAGAACAAUCAACUUUUAUGAUUGACUUACUUUAAGUGGGGAUGAUGUUGAGGUACAUUUAAUAAAUAAUUUGUAACUACAUAACCAGAAAGCAACAAAGGUUGGAUUAUAUUUGUAAAAUAAAUAUUGAUUGUUGCAUAUCUAGUGUCUAGUGUGGAAAUUUAGAUUCAAGGGCCUAAGCAAUGACAUGACCUUGACGGUUCAAUUUGCUACUUAUCUACUUCAUGACUCUUGAAAGGUUUGACUUCUUCUCCUUAAGAACAUAUUGUUAUGAUUGCUCGGUUAAAAUCUCAAUCUUUUUAAAGCAUCAACAACUCUUUGUUCUUUCUUCUUGGUGAGUGUAAUGAUCCGUGAUUUCCAAAGUAGGUAGUUGGAGGAAAUGGAAACUAGAACAUUGCUGAAAAAUUUGGGUAGUUUUUUGUAUAACUAAGUUGGUUCUCUUUGUUCUUUGGCUAUGAGUAUUAUUCGAAGCAUGUUCUUGUGUAGCUAAAUUGGUUAUUUUUAUUCUUGGGGGUCUUUAAAGAUUGAAUUGAAACCUACAUUUGCAACACUUAGGACUAUGCUUAUGCUUAUGUAGUUGCCUUUUUUUAUUUCAAUUGUACAUCCCACUACAAGAAAUAUGACUUUCAAUGACACUUUGGUAUUGUCAUACCCCGCCUCGCACGCGUUCUUACUCGUCAUGCGAGACACGGUAUGACUUUGAGUAUCUUGACAUGUUAAACGUCAAAAUACUUGGCUUGAGUUUCUUAAGCUUUGCUUAAUUGCCUGGCUUCUUAAACUUAACUUAAAAGACUUUAUACUUUAGGCGAUAUAAACACUUAACACAAGAGAUGGAAACAAAGGCAAACUUUUAUUACUAAAGUUAUGUGAUUACAAUACUUUACAAUAAUACAUAACAACUCUUAAGCUUAAUCUAGAUGUCUUAGUAUAGUCUUCUCUCGACAAGCAAGCAUGUCACCCUUUUAAGCUUGUCACCUUUUCCUUACUUUGACCUUAAUGUUUGAUACCAGGAAGGUAAAACUUAAAGCACAAGUCAAAGACUUAGUGAGGUUUUUUAAGAAAUCCUCUCCGCAAAAUAAAUUUUGUAAAUCAUUGAUCACAUCAUAUCACUUAUAUCUUUUCAAAUAAACACAUCAAAUUGUAAGAACAUACAUUUUACAUAAACACACAUUAGUCAACAGUCAUUCCUUUCGCCAAUAACCUAAAUCAUUCUCUACACAAAGACUCAUCAUCUCUCGUUUAGACUACUGGUAUGGCUUUCUCAUCAUCAACAUUCAAUAAUAUUUUGAUUCAUUCUUUGUUGCUCAGGCCGAGACGCAAUACACAUCUUUUUUACAUUGUUCUGCCUCAUUUCAUCAUGCAGACAUCUUUCAUACACACGAUUGCCUUUACUCUUUAUGUGCACAUAACAUUUAGCUCUAUGGUAGAAAGCAGACUAAUGGUUUGAACACCAUCUUUCUGUCAUUGGAAUCACAUAAAAUAUGUUUUGAUCAUAGUAUAAGCUUUUCAUUUGAAAUCUCUUUGGAAACAAUCAUUUUGAAAUCUCUUUGGAAACAAUCAUAUCGAAAUCAUCAUUCCAAAUCAACAAAGACUUUAUAAGAAAAGUUUUUACCACAUAAACACUUUGAAGAAAACACUCACAAAAUCUUUAGCCUUGAGACCAAAAUACUUCUUAUCUUCUUUUUAUUCUCCUUCUUCUUCUGCCGUUGCUGACGUUCCUUCAAUAUUUUUGUAUGUUACAUCACUUAUCUUCACUCCAGAAUCCUUUAAAACAACGAUGAAAACAAUUAAAAAUAAAUAUUAGCAAACAUGAGAGGUAAUUAAGUAUAUGUAUGCCAACAAUUUAAUUAAUUUAAUAAUAAUUACCUCGACAGAACAACCUUGAUUAUUGGGACAAUAAUUUUGAUCGAUUAAGAUUGGAUGUUUAACAUUAUGCAUAGUUAUAUUUUCAAACACAACAUGUUUUACGAAACCAUUGCUAGACGUAGGCGAUGUCUUUAUCCUCACACCAUUAUCUGAUUUUGUAAACACUGUAUUCAUCAAUCUUAUAUUUUCAACUCCAUUUUCAUUGACCUCUUUUCCUAGGCUCCCGAUACUGCAUUAAUUGAAAUUAUUAUCAUAUUAUUUUAUUAACUCAAAAAAAAAAAAGAUUACCGGCCAUCAUUUUAGUGUGUGCAUAUAUUAGAUUUGUUACCUUACACCAUGGCGGGCCCACAUUUAAUAUCACUCAUAAACAAAUUAUUUGUUCCAUCACCAAUAGAAAUGCAAUCAUCUCCCGUUUUAAUGGUAGUUCAAGAGAUGGUUACAGCAGUGGAGGAUUGCACAUGGAUGCCAUCAGUAUUGGGGCCUUGGUCUGGAGCCAUUAUCUUCACAUUCUUGACCAUCACAUUGUUGCAACUAUUGAUCACAAUAUGAGUUUGUCGAGUGUUGAUUGAUCUUAGUCCACUAAUUAUGACGUUGCUUGCCGAAUUGAAUGUUAUUGAUUGUAUUUCAUUUGUUAAAACAAAAGAAAACAUGUGUUACUAUACAUAUAUAUAUAAAUAAACAUGUCACAAUAAAUUUUAAAAAAUACACUUGGAUGCUUUUGGAUAUAUAGUAGCUUACUCAGGGUGUGUUGUUUGGAAUAAUACAUUUUCAAGUUUUAAUUUAAAAAAUGAAAUUUUAAAAAGAUCAAAAUGUCCCAUGUCUACUACAAAAUAACUUUUAAAAUGCAUUUAAACCCCUUUCGUUUAAAUAAAAAUAAGACGUUUGGAAAGCACUUUUUUUCUCAAAUUAAUAUCUAAACAAGCUCUCAAUUGUAAAGUUAGUAUGUUGGUCAAUUUUUGGGUAAAAAGUAAUAUUUUUGGUGUUUUUUUUCUGCUUUCUAAUGAAGAUAGUCGAUGUGCAGUUUUGGAAUUCAAUAAAGUAUUGAGUAAUUAACACGCAUACCCUUGCUCCCGGGGGACAUUUUUUUCCAGAGCCCUUGCAAGCCCAAUAGUCGGUGCCUUUUCCAUCAAUAUUGCCACCGAUGAAAGAAAUUCCAUUAACUUUGGUGAACAAAAUCCAAUACCUAGAAUCUCCAAGAGCAUUAUAGUCAAGAGGUGCCACGAGUGUUCCAUUCAAUUGAAAUGUAAUGUUGCUGUUCUUACAUGGACCUCUAAAUGUGAUGGAUGUAAGCAAGAACCUUCCCUUAGGGACGUUGAUGGUGGAUCGUGUCAAGGAGCUACAUGCAGACAUCCACGCUUUCAGAAAUGAUUGGGUUGAGUCAGUUUUUCCAUCCGGUUUUGCACCGAAUGUUAUCACAUUGUAGUUGCCUGCACUUGAAAUUUGAAUGAACAAAUGGAAGAAGAGAACGAAGACUAAACUUUUUGUUGGGUUGGCCAUAUGUUUUAUAAAGAAAGAUCUCAUAAAGUUGGGAAUUAAAUUGUGUUAAUGAUGCAUGGCAAUAGGGAUGUGUUUUGAUAUAUAUAGUGUACUUGUGCAAUGAAAUUAAUAAUGAAUUAAAACAUUGAUAAAAAAGAAAAAGUGAAAUGAAAGAAAUUGGAUAUGCUAAGUAAGCAGGCGGCUGAUGUAUAUGCGGUGGUUUGAUUCAGAUGAAGGAAAUCAGCCAGGGUCUUGAUGUACGGCCGCUAUGUUCAUGCAUUUUCAUUAGAUGCUCUUCUUUUUGCACGAAAAUUGGUAUUCAUCCAAUCUUGUGUUUGAGUCGUUGCUACUCAAAUAAUAAUUAACUAUUGUUCCAUGAAAACAAUAACACUAUCCUUGCUCAUGGUAUCAAUCUUAUAUUAUAUGGGUUCAUCAACCGGUUCUAUUUUGAUCUCUAAACUUUUUAAAAUGUUUGUUUUAGUCCUAAACUUAAAAGAAAAAAAGAAAACAUAUUUUGAUCUCUACUAUUAGCAUUUUGUUAAGAAAUGGACUUUUAUGUUUGGAUGACUAGGAUAUCAAAUAAAAUAAUUAAAGAGUUCUAAAUUUUAGUAAGAACAACUCAAAAAGUCGUCGUUUUCUAGAUUUUGAUAAUGGUCGCCAUUUAGGAUAUUGUCAUUCUAUUUCACUUUCUUAACUCGUAUGCUUGAUGCAAUUCAUCAACAUAUAAAUUUUUUAGUGCAUCAAGUUUGAGAUAUUUUGUGAUUCAUUGAGGUGCUUUUUUUUCAUCCUCCCAGUCAUUUAUUCUUUGUUUUGUUUUGUUUUUUUUUUUUUUUUUUUUUUGUGAUUCAUUAUGCGAAUAUUUGUUUAAAAUUUAGUAGAGUUCAUUUCAUAAGUGUUAGUAUUUAUUUUAUGUUUCUAGUUUAUUUUACAUUGUCAUUGAUAUUAAACUACAAUAUGUUCGUUCUAUUUUAUUUUUCUUUAUUCUACUUAUUGUCAUUUUUUUAUGGUUCGAGAAAUAAAUAAAUAAAGGGUGAGGAGUCCGAAAGAGAUACGAGAGAUUUAAGUUUUGGAGAAAAAGAACAAAAUUAGUUUUAAAUUUGGGUUUAUUUAAUUAAAGUGUAUUAAUUAUAUUUCUACGUUCAUAUAAAAGAUUUAUAGAAUAAAAUAACAAAGUUUAUUAGAUAUUUAUGAAUUUAAUUAAUAUGAUGAAUAUAUAGUCCAAUCACCUAAAUAUAAAUGAUCAUGUCAUCGUUUAGUUAACUUUUAACAAAAUUCUAACAAAAAUAAUCAAAGUAUGCAUUUUUUAAAAGUUUGAUAACUAAAACAGACAUGAAGUCGUUCAAUGACCAAAAUGAACAAAUGCAAAGCUCAUGACCAAUUUAACCUAUCGUAUUUAACAAAUUUAUCACAUUAAUAAAUAUUAUAUUACUGACCACAUUUAAAGAUAUAAAUAAUACAUAGGGAUAGUUACAAAUUUAGCAAUUAAAUUCAAAAUAAUUAAGUAUAUAGCAAUGUUUUUAAAAAAUUGCAAAUAUAGCAAAAUUUGUCAAAUUCUAUCAAUGAUAGAGUCUAUCACUGAUAGAUCAUAUUGUAAAAAUUGGUCUAUCACCGAUAGAUCAUACGAGUCUAUCAGUGAUACAAGUCUAUUAGCGAUAGUUUUGCUAUAUUUGCAAUUUUUUUAAAAUUUUGUUAUAUCCUUAAUUAUUAUUCCUCAAAUGGUCACUCAUUACAGUUACCCUGAUAUAUAUAUAAUAAAGGUCCAAUCAUGGAACUUUUUAUAUUUUAAGUACCUUGAAACCGAAGACGCUGUCACACGCAUAAGUCUCUAUUUUUUUUUUUAUUGUUUAUUAAUUAUUAAUCUCUUUUCCAUAGAUAAGUCUCUACCAAUUUUAACUUAGAAUAUAUAUCUUAUAUUGUCGCUCAUUAAUUAUCAUGUUCAUUACUAGGAUACCUACCUUUGUGAACACAAGUUGGCACUAACUUCAAUUUUUUUACGUGAAAACUAGUUGCGUGUACAUUGAACAGCAUCUAUUUUUAUACAGCAUAGAUUAAGGUAGUGCACCAGAGGAGCUCCCCUUCUAUCAUGUUCAUCAUUCAAACGUAAAUAAAAGCUCUUUAUUUCUUCGUACAAGAGAAUCUUGAUUUUCAAAUAUAAGAACAACGACACUUUUCCUCAUUGAAAACAAAACAACAAAUACAAACCACGUCAAUCAAAAGACUUACAUGCUUUGGGUUUUAUCUUCACUAAGGUUGCAUUCAACGUUGUUAUGCACAUCUCAUCUCACACACAACACCAACCAACCCUCAGACAACCAAAAUUUUUACUAAAAAGGAAUGCUAAAAACAGAGAUCCCGAAAACAUCUCCUUCAGAAUAAAAUCAUAUCUUCUACUUUAAGAGAAAAAAUUUUCAUAACCGCGCCAAAAAAUAUAUUUUUAAAAACAUAAUAUUCUUCCCACUUCACAUAAAAAACUUUUUGCCACGUCAACCAACAUGAAGAUAAUUGUGAAAAAAUGUAACUACCACUAGCCCAUGCAUCUUCUAACAAACUCUCCCUUGGGAUUGACUUCCUUUAUUUGUUUAAACAUGUAUAUAAAGAUAGAACUAAACACCUAGAAGCAACAAAAGCCAACAAUAAGUAGUUCAAUUUAGAGAGAACAGUUAGAGUAACAAAGAGAAUUACACUUCUAAAAAAGACCCACUCAAGAGAAAUACACAUGCAGAAAUAAGAGAAAAAGCAACAUCAAAAAAAUUAAAAAGACAAACAACCCCAAACCACACAAUAGUACCACAACAGCAGCCUUUCAACCUUUUUAGAUUCCAACUCAAAAACAUACAACCAACCACAUAACCACACUCCACCUUGCAUGCUAACAAAGAAUUAGGAAACAAGAGGAGAAAACCUAGAGGGUCUUGAGCCACAGUUAAAGAAUACAGGGCUUGAAGGACAAAAUCAAUGACAACUCUUCAACUGGUAAGAUCUGCUAUAACCUCGUUCUAAUCUUGAAUGGAAACACUCAGAGACCGAGACUCAUAAGAUAGGAGUUGUGUAAACCCUAGUUCUUGAGCUCCCUAAAAGUAUUAAGUGUUAAAUGUUAUGAGAAGCUUAGUGUUGUUUUUCUUUGUUAGGUGUGAAGGGAUAAAAGUCUAUGGCAGCACAAGAUUUUAAAGAAUCAUUACUCAAUUUAAUUUGAAAAUCCUAAAAUUUCAGUACAUUGGCAACAUUUAGGAUCAAAAUUUUAAAUAAAAAAACUAAGCAUGCUUUUAAUUCAAAAGAUACAAAAAACUUACUCUUGUUGACAUUUAUGAAUCUACAAUCCACCAAAUUAGGGACACUACCCAUCAGAGACCUUCCUAUCCUCUGAGAUGAGAUUGGUUUAUGGGAACCAAUCAGAAUGCAAAAAGAUUUAGAGAGAAACUAUUUUGCAUAAAACCAAAACCAUUAGUUUAAUUCAUUCAUUAAGAAAAACAUUUUUUCUUCUACGUAUUUAUAGCUCUCUCUCCUUUAUGGAGUAGAGAGACAUUUUUUCUUCUACAUAUUUAUAACUCAUUUUCCUUUAUGGAGUAGAGAGAAUUAUGAGAUUCUAAUAAUUUAAAAAAUAUUAAAUUAAUAGAAAUUUCAAAUCAACUAAUUAAUUAAAUCAUAUUUCACUAAAUAAAUUUAAUGAACAUCUCUUCAAUAUCUUAUUAAUUUAAUUAAAUCAAACUUAAUUAAAUAAAACUAGGUUAAAUUAAUUAAUAGUUAAAUUAAAUAUUUUAUAUUUAACUUAAAUUAAAUUUAAAUCAUUCAAAGUUUAAGUUUCUCCUAACCAAUAAUUUUAAUAUGAAUCUAAUUCACGUUAAAUUAAUAUUUGAACUCAUUCAAAUAUUUUAUCUCAAAUUAUAUCCAAAAUUAAAUUUAUAUAAUAAAGUUUGAUUAAACUUUUUAUUAUUAUAUAUUACAUUAUACUAAUUUCCAAAGUAAAUUUAUACAUUUCAAAUUACAACUAAUAUAAAUAAAUCACAUUAUUUUUUACAAGCUAGAAAGGUAAUGUAAGGGAGCUACAAAUCAGAAGCUACAACGGUAUGAGAUUAAUUGGCUAAACUCAUUAGCAACAUAAAUCAAUAUUUGUUAAGUGUGUGUACUCCACUAAAGAUUUACAAUUGAACUUUUCUCAUUAUAGAUAUAUUUUUGUGUCCACGAAUAUAGACCAAUAACAGUAAGUUAGUCAUUCACGAGUGUUCGUAACACCAGCUGGGUCAAAUUAUCAUUUUACCUCUAGGUUACCUCUAGUCCUUAAAUAUCAUGCUCAUCUAAUGAACAACCUGUUUAUGGUUCAACCAAUAAACAGAAACCCCUCUCAUGCCAUAGAGAGGGUACAGACCUUUGUUCAAGUCCCGAAUAUACCAUUUAAGGGAACACUCAUCUAUUUACCCUAAAGUCGAGAAUGAGUGUAUUUCAUAUUGUGUAAUUAUGUUCCUAGCUCCCCACUCGAUCUUGUCCCUAAAUGAUAAGCAUAUUGAGUUGGCAAUCUGUCACUCUCACACAUACAAAUCAAAAGAUAAUCCCUCGCGAAUAGGAGUUCAUAAUUCAUUCAGGAUAUAGAUUAAGUUACCUAGGUCAUCCUAAUGAAAUAGAAACCUAACUAGUUAAUAGAGUUACAUCUAAUGGUUCCCAUUUCAUGGUUUGGCAACUCAUUGCAUAAGAUACGUUCACUCGCAUGUCACAUACACGAACUCGUUGGAUCAUUAUGUUUGUAUCAAAUACAAAGUGAGUUGUAUCCAUAGUAUUAUCAGGAUAAGGUACCCAACCUUAUCCAUGUACUAUAGACCAUUUAAGUUGAUCUCGAACAUUGAUCCCUAAUGUCUCUACACAUUGUUCAAAACUCAUCAGAUAACUUAAAAUGUUAGUUUAUUGGUUUUGGGUCAUUAAGACAAAACUAAUAACAUAAUCAAUAACAUUUAUUAAAAUUACAAUAAUAACACUUUAUUAAUGACGGUGAAUGAAUUAUAUCUAUAAUCUACGAGUUUUAGGAUAUAAAUCUCAACAAGGUGGACAAGAGAAGAGAAAUUAUGGUUAAGUAUGGAAGUUGGUAGUUGGUGGCCAAAAGGGAAAGAAGAGAAGUUUGUUCUUAGUUGAAAAAUGGCCAAGUGUGGAGAGGUUUUUGUAUAAGGUGUUAGGUGUUUUAUGAUUCUUAGGCGUUUGUCGUUGGCUUAGGCGAGAUAGAAUGUCAAGAACCUCUAAAGAGGUUAUCUCAAGCAUUGUGUCAAGCUAGGCAGAAAGUAUGUGGAAGUUGCUAGGUGAGAACCACUACAAGAAUGUCCUAGGCGUUUAGUACUAGGCGAGGAAGCUUGCUAGAGGUGUCUUGGCAUUUUGGCUAAAGCAUUUGAAGAAGUUAUGGGAUUAGUUUGUGCUAUGCAAAAUUUUAAAUUUUAGGUUGUUAUUAUAUCAAAUGCAAAAUUUUAGGAAAUGAUACAAUUUUAAAUUUAAAUUUUGGAGGUAUUCCAACUAAACUUUUAAAAUAAAAUAAUAAAAUAAAUAUUUAUUAUUAUAUCUAAUCCGAAAAAAAUGGAGGAUAAAUAUAAAAAAUGGUGUAUUUGUAUGAUAUAAUAAAAUGUUACUAAGAAUUAACCAAACCUUAAGAAAUGUAUAAUGAACAAAUUAUAUUAUUAAUCAUUAUAUGAGAAAUUAUGUAUUUGUAUGAUAUAAUAAAAUAUUAGUGAGAAUUAACCCAAACUUAUCAAACCUAGAAUGAAAGAAUUAUAUUAUCAAUGACUUUAUCGAUAGUAAAAAAAUAUGAAUUAAAUAGCUAUUACUAUAUAUUAAUAAAAAUAAAUGGUUAAUCAAUUCAUUUGAAGUCUAUAAAUCUAAAAAUUUAGUAUAAAUAAUGUAGAAGAUUUUGUUCUAUAUCCCAUUUUUAAUGGAAAAAAUAAGGACGAUUUUGCUAAAAUUCAAACUAUGUGAGUCGAGAUUGGACGAAAGUUGACGUGAAAUAAACGGGGCCUUCCAGUGUAAUGGGCGUAUAAACCCCUAAAAUUUAAUAAUUUAACCCUUAAUUUUCUCUCUAGGGCUUUUGGCGAGUAGAGGAACGAAGGCGACGGUGCCAAAUUCUCAGAAGUUCAUCAAUGGCUCCGAAGACAGCAAGAGUUAGCAGAAAUCCUGAACUCAUUCGAGGGGUUGGCAAAUACUCGAGGUCGAAGAUGUACCACAAGCGUGGUCUUUGGGCAAUCAAGGCCAAAAAUGGAGGUGUCUUCCCUCGCCAUGAUGCCAAGCCUAAGGCAGAUUCUCCUGCUGAGAAGCCGCCCAAAUUUUACCCAGCCGAUGAUGUCAAGAAACCACUUGUUAACAAGCGCAAACCCAAGCCCACCAAACUUAGGUUCAUCUCUCUCGAUCUUCUUUCUUUCGAUGCUAUGUUUUUACUCAAUGUCUUGGAAUCCAUAUUGCUUUCUGAGGAAUUGGAGUAAUUAGAGUCCAUGCUGUAGCUAUGGAGAAGCGGGAAUUUCUGAAGAGAGAUUAGUUUUACACUUGAUUUAAGUUUUGGGUUUCGAAUUGGGUGAUCUGAAGUGAAUUUUUGCUCAUUUUUCUAUUAAGCAAUAUUUGGUUCUGGGGGUGUGUUCAUCUAACUUAGUUUCGUUGAUUUUUAUACUAUUUACAGGUCCAGCAUUACUCCUGGAACCGUGCUUAUCAUUCUUACUGGAAGGUUUAAGGGAAAGAGAGUUGUGUUCUUGAAGCAACUUCCGUCUGGGCUGCUUUUAGUGACUGGUGUGUUUUGAUGAAUCUCUAAUUGUCUGUCUUUAUAAAUUUUGUUUUGUUAUCAAAAAGUGUUGGGGAUUCUGUUCAUGGGGUUAGUUUUUGUUUUUCCACAUUCUUUGUGGACUUGUGUUAGAUUUGCAUUGGAAGUCUUAUUUAUGAUAUCUUAGCAUCAUAACAGUUAUUUGCCUUAGGUUUACAUAUUAUCUCAAAUGCGUUACCUGCAUAACAAGAAGGAAGAAGUUGGAUACUUUGGGUUUUACAUUUUGACAGUAUUAAUUGUUGAACCUCGAAAGCAGUUAAUAUUGAAAUGUCUCACGUCUUGUAUUCUGCCCAUUUCUCCGGCCAAUCGACUUUACAUACCACUGAAAUGCCUCAUGCUUCCUUUUAUGAAUAUAUGCCCUGCUAAUGGUCUUUUCAUCCCAUAAGUUUCUAAGCUUUAUGUGCAUUAUCUUCUAUUGUUUUCUUAUGAUGGUUGUGGGUACGGGUAGGGGUUAGUGUCUGAGUAGUCCUACAUGUUUAGGAGAAAGGAUGUAUAUAAAAUAGUGAUUGGCGGAGGCUAUUGAUUUCAAAUUAGCAAUUCUUGAACCUGCUAAGGAUUAUCUUAAUUUGAUUUUUGUCAUUUUAGGGCCAUUCAAGGUCAAUGGUGUUCCUUUGAGGCGUGUGAAUCAGUCAUACGUGAUUGCAACCUCCACCAAGGUGGACAUUGCAGGGGUCAAUGUGGAGAAAUUUGGUGACAAAUAUUUCUCCAAGGAAGUUCAUCAGAAGAAAAAGAAGGGAGAAGGAGAAUUUUUCGAGGCAGAGAAGGAGGUACUCAUCCUGUUUUUGAUUUGUCCAAAUAGUUUAAAGUUUUAUCAUUUCUUUGUCCUGAUUUGAGGUUGCCAUUGUUACAUGCAGGAAAAAAGUGCGCUCCCACAGGAGAAAAAGGAUGACCAGAAGGCCGUGGACUCGGCUCUGCUAAAGUCCAUUGAGGCAGUCUCAGACUUGAAGACAUACUUAGCUGCAAGGUUUUCUCUAAAGGCAGGCAUGAAGCCACAUGAGCUUGUUUUCUAGAUAUUUUCUGUGUGGUUUCUGAUACGCCUCUUGGGGAAUUUGAUCCCUAUAAUCUUCUUGUUCAUGUUUUGUUAUGAGGGUUGUAGAUUUGAAAUUAUGUCUCGCAAUGAAUUUUGUAGUGAAGUUUAUUCAUCAAAUCCUACAUUACGUGGCUUCCUUUGACUGGUGAGAGUGAUAAGACAUGUAAUUUUUGUUCAAUUUCUGGCUGGUGAAAUACUUGAGAAACACAUUGAUAAAGAUAGAUCGGUUGACUUACAAUGGUGCAUGGCCAUGUUUGAUUAGUAUGCAACGUCAGAGAGUGGGCAAUGUAUGCUUGAAUCUCAUAUAUUUGGGGUUUCUUUUUCAAUUUGGUUAAAAUGAUAUUUUCUUCUCUGCCCUUCACUUGUUUAUCAUAUGAUAAUAAUUUUACUGUUGGCAUGUAUGGAGCGAUCUUGAAAAAAUUAAAAUCACUUUUGAAUACUUUUACUCCUUCCAAAUAAAUUGUAAUAGUAUGAAAAAUUAAGUAGAAUUUUUUACAAUUUUAAAAUCACCCUUUGACUUUCAAAAUUACUUCAAUUCUAAAAUUUGAUGAUUUCAAAAUUAACAAAUUUUCUUCCAGUAAUAUUUAGUGAAAAUGUUAAUGAUGUGAUAAUACCAGUUUGGAGCUACAUCAAUUGAAGAAAGAUUUAGAUUGUUUUCUUAAUUAAAAUUGUGUGUUUUUUAAGGAACAUUUUAAUUUUAACAUUCACAUCAAUACUAAAUAUAAUUAAUUUAAAAAAUAUAUAAUCAAUAUUUCUUUAUUAUAUUAUACCAAAUUUACUAUCAAUUUUAUAAAUUUCAUAAUUAUUAUAAUAAAUAGUUUACAAUUAUAUUUUCAUUUAUUAUUAGGAUAUUGUAGAUUUAUUUUUAAUACGGUAUUAAGUUGAAGUUAAUAUGAUAAUAUUAUAUUUAAUAAUUUAUACAAAUUCAUUUUAUUUAAUUUCAUCCCAACUUAAUAUCAAAUUUUCACAAACCUACUUUCUACUUCGUUCACCGUUGCAAUUUUCUCCAAUCAGUUUUUUCGUUUGAUAUUUCGAUUUUGUUCUUCCCCUUUCCAUCUCAUUCAAAUAUCCGGUAAGUUCAAUUUUUUUCUAUUUAUAUUUCUUUAUCCUUCCUAUUCAUGUAAAUUUUACCAUAUAUAUUUUAUGUUUAAUUUUUCCUUGUGUUCAUAAACUGAAAGUUCGUGAGUUCAAUAUUUCAACCAUCUUCUUCAUUUUUUUGUUUCUCAGGUGUUCCGUCAACAAUAUAUACUAUUAUAUACUAGUAUGUAGUCUAAUUCUCUUUUGUGAUAUAUUAGAUAUAUACACUUACACAUUUUUAAUAAUACAUAAGUUGUAACACAUACAGUUAUAUUAUUGAUUGUCAGUGCAUAUUUGUUUCAUUAAACUUAUUUUUUUCCUUAUUUUUGUUUUUUAAAUGUGUCGUCAAUAGUAUAUUAUGAUGGUUUUUUCAAUGAUUGUGACAACUACAUUAGUUAUAGUGUUUUCAAAAUAUUAAUGAAUGAACAUAUACCUUUUCAAGACAUGUAUAAUAGUCUACUAUCCAAGUUAGGUAGUUAUAUUGAUAUAUACUUAUAUUCCUUCCAUUGCAUAUUUGUUUCAUUAUUAUUAUAUAUCACUGCAUUGUGUUGUGACCUAUAUAAACAACCGUAUAUUUAAAAUAAUACGUAAGCAAUAACACAUAUAGUUCUAUUAUUUAUUGUUAGAUAUGUUCAAAAUUGUUGAAUAUUAUGAGGUCAUCUUGUUCAACUAAUUGUUUCAUGUUAUUAAUUUUCUUUCUUAAAUUAUGUAAUAUAGUAUACAAUAUAUAAUGAACUUAUUUUUUUCAAGCUUUUGGAUGCUGGACCAUUUAUUCCUUUUUAGGAUCAAUGGUGCACCCUACGAACGUACAACAUAAAAAAUAUCAUAUAGUUUAUAAUAUAUAUCAUAUAUCAUUAAGCACUAAGCAUCACACACAUAAUAUAUAAUUAAGUAGUAGACACAUAAUAUUUCAUAUAUGUUACAGUAUAUAUUAAAUAUCAUUAAGUGUUAAACAUUAAGCAUCACAUACAUUAACACUAAGCAUCACAUACAUAAUAUAUCUUUAAGUAGCAAACACAUAAUAUAUCAUAUAUUAUACAAUAUAUAAAAAAUAUCAUUAAUAAUACAUUUUUCUAAUCGUAUUGAUAUAAAUUUGUAAUUCCACAUGAUGUAAAAUUUGUUACAAAAUUAAAAUACAAGGUAAAAUAUGCACAAGUAUAUUGUUAUAUAAUAUUAUGUUAAAUAUUCAGGAGUACAUAAUGAUCUAUUUAAAUCGAAAACGGUUUCAAUCACGGUAAGAUUUUACAAAUUAACUUCCAUUAUAUGAAAAUCAAUGCAAAUUUGAUGAAAUAUAAUAAGUAUAUAAUAGAAAUUAUUAAAUUACGUGGAAUAUAUGAAAAACAAUGCAAAACGAAAGAAAGAAUGGGCGGAAAGAGAGAUUGAAAAGUGUGAGAGAGAUUGACAUUGAAUACAUAUCUCUCCCGAGAUAACGCGUCAAACACCUAGUGAGUGGAACAACUCUUCUCCUUGUCUCUUUGUAAAACUCUUCGAUUGAGUCUUAGAAACCUUCACAACUUUUGUAAUGGAAAAACAACUCAAUGAAAUACAAAAACACAGCAAAAUAACUUAACUUCUUCUCUUUAUUAACUUUAUGCUUACAGAAGUACAAAAUACAAUUUACAACUUUUGCUUUUUGUAAAAUAAACCAACUUUGAUCAUUUCACUGCCUUCUUCUUUCCACCAAGUUGCAGUCUUUCGAGCUAUGGUGUAAGACUCCAAUCUAGGCCUCUUUCCCUUUUCUCGUCUAAAAUCCAUCUCGAGGACAUCUCUCAAGAUCUUCCUUUCCCUUUUUCAUCGCUUCAAUUGCUUCCUUGAGGAGGGACACUUAGACGUGUGAAGUUCUCCUUCCUUUCUUUACCUCACUCACCCAACAACUUCAAUUCAAAAGACAAUCUUUAGGGCUUCCUUUUUCUGUCUUAAUUCUUCAAUUCUUAUGCUCUCUCUUCCUUGCUUAAUUGAGGUUGAGGCGUUAAGAAGUAACAACCUUAUAAACUGACUUCUUAAACGUAUGAUGAGAAGCCAUGACUAGCACGCCAUGUAAGACUACACAGUAACUCUAUCUUCCCUCAUUAACUAAGGUACAACGCCUCAGAACCAACCUUCUCAUGGUCUUAAUGCUUCCCAACCUGGAGAGGGAAAAAACUUAAGACGUAAGUCAAAUAGAUGGACUUAGUGAGCGACAAGUUUUGAGAAAACCUUUUUGGAAAAAACACAUAGAAUCCACAAAAAAUAAGAUCAGGCCACAUUAUAUAAAGUGCAUCCCAUCAAGCCACAACAAAUAAUGCAUACCGAACCAACCACCAUAAUUCAAACAACCACACAGAGAGCGCUACAAUGCCAUACGCGAAAAUCAUUUCGCAACAAGCUUAACUCUGAGAUCUGAGAUUCUCCCCUCGCUAAGACUUAGGAUUUGCACUCACUAGUAUCACACAAGUUAUUUGGGAUCUUUACCCGCGUCUAGUCUUAUGAAUAUGUCAUAACUCAUAACCACACAAAUUCAAAAUAAGGGAGCAAUCAACUCAUCGCUUACUCGUAGCACAAAUUAUCAUAGAUUAGUAAGGCAUCUCAUAAACAAUAAUACUCAAAAGAUCAUGUUUGAAAAAUAUUUCGUUCCAUCACCUUUGGAAGAAUACUCAAAUCUAUUCAUAGAAAAUAUUUAAUCGUUCAUUGAAAAACAUUCAUAACUCGCAUUUAAAUAUAGAAGACGUUUAAUCACACAAUCAGUUAUAAAACAGAUCAUGUUACGUACAACAACAAAACAUAUAAAACGUAUUUGAUCAUUCACAAAAGAGUAAUUAAUCAUCGAAAACGUUUAUAAAUCACAUUUAUCACUUUCAAACAAUACUUGUAAAACGAUGUAUCAAUCAUAAACAAAACGUAUAAUUCAUUGUCACCUACAAUAGAUAAUUAGCCUCAACCCCUUCAUUCUCCCCUUCCGGUUUUCUCCUCUCAUUCAACGGUUGAAGGAACCGUUCGUUCCGUAUUCAAAACUUUAUUCUUUCACUUUCAUUAGAAAAUCUCACUUUUUGGAAAAAAAAAAACCUUUUCUUUUCUUUCGAUUUUCGGCCUUAUUUAUAGAGGCCUUUCAUUUUUAAGGGUCACUUCUAUACUUUACACGUGUCACCUUACUAACACGCCACGCUAUGCCACCAAUCCAAACUCGACACGUAAUCUAACUGUUAGGAGUGAUUUGACUUUCCUUGGAAACGCACACCCUAUUUAUUUGGGAAGCCAAACUCUUAAUUGUUCGACUGUCCUUGACUAUAUUAUUAAAUUUUCAAUCGACUAAGCUUUGAAUGCUAUUAGAAGAUAUUGAUGAGCCAUGAUGUGAACAUUACAAUAACGGUUUGGUUUCAUCUAUUUAGAGAUUAACUAUUAUAAAAAUAAUAGAGGAAUAUAUAUUUUGAUCAAUAUUACCUUUAGAGCAAGAAAGUAACAGUUAAUUUAAAACUUUAAUGUUAGGAAUAAAAGUUGUUCCUUGAGAAAAUUAAAAUAAGAAGAAGAAUGGAGACCUAUUUUUCUUUCCCUUUUACUUCUUUUUCUUUUCAAAAUCAAAAUAAGAAUAAAAAGUUAAGGGAGAAUAAAGGGAGAGGAAUAAUAUUGGCAAAAGUUUCUCCAUUUGAUAUAGGUCUUCCAAAAUUUUUCUUCAUAGCUUAACUUGUCUUCGCUUUUAAACAAGAGAGGAAAACGAAGGUUUGAAGAUCUUUGAGAUGGUGAUAUUACAAACAUUUCUUUUCUUGGAUUUUUUCCUUAAUUAAUCAUCGUUGUAAUUAAAAUUUACACCCUCCUCCAUGCAUCUUUCAUUCUACCAUUAUCGUGUGACUUUUUAUUUGAAUCAAUUGUUUACCUUCUUUGCAUAACAUCUUACAAUCUUCAUUUGAUUACCUAUUCAAAAAUAAUGAGUGGAUUAAUUGUUAAGAUGUGGAUAGACUCGUUCAACUAUUAUAAAUGAGAGCUAACGAGUUUAAUUUACACAAUUAUAAAUGGCACAAGAGGUUUAUAAUAAAAUAGGUAAAUGGAUACACUUAUAAAAAUUCAAAGUUUAAAUUAAUACCACCUCUACUACUAUUUGCAUGUCUAUUGAUAAGUUGUUUUUAAAUAAGAAAAUACAAUCUAUCUACACUAGAAGGGCUACGUGGGAAAAACAUUAUUUAACAUUUUCAAUUUAAAGUAAUUUUAUUUUUUAAUUAUCUUAAAUUAUUUAAGUAAUUAUAAGUUGAUUUAUUAGGAUUUAAUUAGUAAUGGAUGUUAAUUAGUUUUUAAUUUGUGAGACCAAAAAAAUUGUUGUUUUGGUGGAAAAUUUUGAUUAAGUAAUUAUAUAUAUAAUUGGAGAACGGGGAAAAUUGAUGGAAAAAAUAAUUAUGCCAUUUAUAUAUACAUAAAUAGUUAUAUGUAUUUAUUAGGAAAAAAGUUUAUUUAAUGGGGAGAAAAAAAUUAAAAAUAUAUUUGAAUCUUUUUAAAAAUAUAAGACCAAAUAUUUACAAUUUCAAAAACGGAAAAGGUUGACUACUCUACAAUAAAUACAAUCUGAUUGAUUAAACAUGGGGUGUGUAAUAUAUUUGAAAAACAAUCCUUUACAUUUAACUAUUCUUUCUACACAAUCCCUAUCUACACGAUCACUAUCUACAUGAUCAUUUAGAUUUUUAUCAUUUAGAUUUGAACCCAAAUCUAAACGAUUUUUUAAAAAUAUCUUUUAGUACACAUCGUUUAGAUUUUAUAGUUUAAAUUUGGAUACCAAAAUCUAAAUAAUUGAGGAGCCAAAUCUAAACUAAUUUUUUCGUAAUUUUUUUUAUCACCACUUGACCUGUAUUUUCUUUUUGCUCUUGCACUAUGAAACUAAGACAAUUUAGUAAAUUAAAUAUACGAAUUUGUGUAUUGGAUUUAGAAUAUCAAUUUUAAAAAAAAUUAACAAUUUAAUCGGACGCAACAAUUACGUAAAAAAAGUUGAAAAUGAAUGUCGUAUUUAAAGAAAUUAUUUCAAACUGUUUUACGAAAAUUGUGACGAUUUGAUAAAUUAAAUAUACGAAAUUUGUGUAUUGGAGGUAGAAUAUGAGAUUUUUUAAAAAUAAUAAUAAUUUAAACGCAACUAACGAUUAUGUAAAAAGGAUUGAUAAUGGAUGUCAUAUUUAAAGAAAUUAUUGCAAAUUAGUUUAUGAAAACUAGGAUGAUUUGAAAAAUUAAAUAUAUGAAAUUUGUGUAUUGGAGUUAGAAUAUGAAUUUAUUAAAAAUAAUAAUAAUUUUUGUUCAUGCAUUGUGUUCCAUGUAAUUGACUUCAGUUUAUAACUCCCUCCCUAGAAAAACUAUUUUGUUCUUCGUAUAUCGUUUCCUUUGAAUGAAAUUAUGGUGCCGGUAUUUGGUUUAAAUGGAUUAUUAAAUAUAUGUAAUUUAUGUAUUUCAUUUAGAAUAUCAAUUAAAAAACAAAAAUAUAAUUUAUUUACGUUAAAAAAAUUGAAAAUGGACGUCGUCUUUGAAGAAAUUACUAGAAAUUAUUUUACGAAAACUAAGAUGAUUUAGUAAAUUAAAUAUAUAUAAUUAGUGUAUUGAAGUUAGAAAACGAAUUUUAAAAAAAUAAUAAUUUAUUGGCACGAAACAUUUACAUAAAAAAACAUUGAAAAUGGACAUCGUAUUUAAGAAAAAUGCAACUUGUUUUACGAAAAUAUGAUAAUUUGGUCAGUUAAAUAUACAAAAUUUGUAUAUUUGAUUUAAAAUACGAAAUUUAAAAAAUAAUAAUAAUAAAUAAUUUUCAUAAUCCUUCCUCGAAACAAAUAUUAUCAUAACACUAUCUAUUAUAAUCAUUCUCCCAAACACACAUACAAUCGUAACAUUAUCAUUGAUUAUCCUUCCUCCAAGCACAUAUCAUCAUAAUAUUACAAAUAACAAACCUCCCCCCAAACACAUUUAUCAUAUCACUAGGAUUAUCUUAAUCCUUUUCCCUCCCCAAACACGUCUUUAAUUACUUCAAAAUCAAUUUAAAAUAAUUUUAUAUUUUUGUAAAGAUCAAUUUUAGUUGAGGUAAAACAUCAUUACUUAAAAAAAUAAUUGAUUUUGAUCGAAGAAAAAAACAAUUGUGAACAUCUCGAAAUCACUCCAAAACACAUCCACCAUGUUUUGAAUCAAAUUUUAAAAAUUUGAAGUUGGUUAAUAAAUUUGACCUCUUUUGAAAGGAUUGUGGCCUGGCUUCAAUUUUUGUACAAACUAUGCAAUCUUGUAAAAGUAGACAAUAGGUGAAUUUGAUUGCGUAGUUAGCACUGUAGUAUUUUUCCUUUUCGCAUUCUUUAACUCUUAUCUUAUUAUUGGUGGAGUGAUAAUUAGUUGUUUGUAAAAGUAGAGAAUAAUUAAGAGUCCCCAGAAUUGUAGCAAUUAUUUGGAGAGAUUAUUGAUCCUAUUGAAAGGGUUUCAAGAAUAUAUUGACUUGUAAUGAAAGAAGAACAACUCUCUCCCCUAUAAGAGGGAUUUCUUUUUCUAAGAUUCUCUCUACCUUUUUCUACAUCAAACAUUCAAUCUAAGUACUCUACAUGUCUACCAGUCAAAUGAUAAAAUUGACAGCCAUUAUUGUUAUUUCCACACGACCACAAAAUUUUCUCUUCAACAAUUUUUCAAAAAAAAAGGAAAAAUUAAAUUCAUCCGAGACUUUCACUUUGUAUAUAUUGACCCCUUCUAUCACAAAAGAAAAAUAAAAAAGAAAACCAAAGUUUCAAUGACAACAUGAAUUUUAUCUCUGCACCAGAGAUAAAGGGUCCAUUUUUUUUUUAAACAAUUACGAUUGGAAAUGAGUUUUCAAAAGUUAGUUUCGUUUUUUUUAUUAUUAUUGACAUAUUUGUAAGCGGUACUGAAGUAAACUUAUAGAAUUAUUUGAGUUUGUAAAAAGUGUUUAGAGCUGUUCUAAGACAUCUUUUCACACACAUGCUACUGCCUGUUGAGCUGGUGGGGAUUUGUUGUAACCAAAAUAAUUUUCUUUUAUCCAUUUCUUCCUUACUAUUUCUUUUUCUUUUUCAAAAAGGACGAUGAAACGUUUUCCACAAGAUAUUAUUUUCCAAUCGUAGUUAGUCCACUUUUUCAUCCAUUGGACCUGUGUGGAGCUAUAAAAGUUUACCUUCUUAAAAAACCUUCCAAAAAAAGGCUUUGUGUCAUAUUAAUUCAAGAUUUGUAACAUGGACGGUAGGGUUUAGGGUUCUUUCCUCACAAAACAAAUUAAUUUGUUCAUCAAUUGGUUUCACAAUUAUUAUGGUAAAAGUCAAAUAAUUGAUCUUUGCAAAUGAUAAUUGAUACUUUAUCAAUUAAGCUAUAUAUGUUUAAAUAAUAUGAGAUGUAGUGAGAGGUUAGAUAUAUAAAUAAUAUACACAUUUAAGUUUGAUUUAUGCCAUUUAUGUUAGCAUUAUAUUUGCUUGUAAUUAAAUGUUUUACAAAGCGAAUAGCAUCCAAAGAAGCAAAAGCAUCCAAUAAAGCAUAAUAUGAAACUGCCAUGCAUAUAUUCCUCUUUUGAAAACACCAAACAAAAAAGCUUAUCUUUGUCCUUCAAAGUGGGGUAUUGAUUCCCCUUCCACCAUAUGAAGAGAAUUUUAGACAACUAUAUCUUAUACGUUGAUUUCCUCAAACAACUUUAAAGUAAACUUUGACACCUUAAUUAUUGCAUGAUUCUCAACUUUUAGUUUAAAUCCUUUAAACAAAGCACUAAAAGUCUCCCCCAAAACCUUAUUACAUCUCAACAAGAUCUUACGCCAACGAAACAACAAACGUCGUUCCUUGCAACAAUAUCCUAUCGAGUCAUAAUACCAAACCAAAUGAGUUCACCUGCAGCGGGCGACAAGGAAGCGGAUUACAAGCUGAAGGACACGAAACCAAACCUUGGUGAGCGAUGGCCGCAUGGAGGGAUACGUGGAGGGGGUGGGUGGAUAACGAGCGAGAGAGCGACGAGCACAUACGAUCUUGUGGAGCAAAUGUUUUAUCUAUACGUUCGGGUGGUGAAGGCAAAGGACCUACCGCCGGACCCGGUGACUGGGAGUUGUGAUCCAUAUGUGGAAGUGAAGUUGGGAAAUUACAAGGGAAGGACUCAACAUUUUGAGAAGAAAACAAAUCCCGAAUGGAACAAUCAAGUAUUUGCUUUCUCUAAAGACAAGAUUCAAUCAACAGUUCUUGAAGUUUUUGUUAGAGAUAAAGAGAUGGUUCCAAGAGAUCAAUAUGUUGGAAAAGUGGUGUUUGAUUUGAAUGAAGUGCCUACAAGAGUCCCACCGGAUAGCCCAUUGGCACCACAAUGGUACAAGUUAGAAGAUCGAAAAGGCGACACCAAGGUGAUCUCAACUACUUAUAUAUCUUCCUUAUAUAUAUCCCUUUUAUUUGAUAAUCAUUUAAUUUAAGUUUUUGGUUUCGAAAAUUGAACUUAUAAUUAAUGUUACCAUUUAUCAAUUUUUUUGUUUUGUUUUUGUUUAUCUUUUUAGAGUUCCUUUUUUUCCAAAUUUCUACAAAUCUAGGAAAAAGAAAAAAAAAAAAAGUUGAAGACUCUGUUUGGGUAACUAGUAGAAUUUUUAUUUUUAAUUAAUUAUUUGAAAUUAAGCUUGUUAAUAUAAACUCUACCUCUUAGUUUUUCUUGUUGUAUUAUCUACUUCAUACCAAAUUAAAACAUCUGAGCCAAGUUUUGAAUAUUAAAAAAAAGUGAUUUUUGAAAUUUGAAAAUUGGCUUAGAAUUUUAUUCUUUUAUUUAUGAUAGAUAAAAAAAACCUGAUAAGAAUAUGGAAGAAAAUAGGGUUUAACUUUUAAAUACAAAAAGCAAAGAAUUAAAUGGUUGCAAUUUUUUUUUUUUUAAUUGGCUUGUUAGCUAAAAAGUUGCAUAUAUGUUUGUGGUAAUAUAAUUCGAGAUCGGAUGUUUUAAAUUGUUAAAUUUAAAAUUGAAAGGUUAAGGUUAAGAUUCACACAUUUUAUCUUAAACAAAUUUAAUUGAAACUAAAAGUUCAAUCAAACUAAUAGGUUAUAUGGUGAAUUUAAUUCUCAUAUAGGUGAAAGGAGAGAUAAUGCUAGCGGUUUGGAUGGGAACGCAGGCAGACGAAGCAUUUCCUGACGCAUGGCACUCUGAUGCAGCAUCGGUCCACGGGGAAGGCAUCUAUAAUAUUAGAUCAAAAGUGUACGUUUCUCCAAAACUAUGGUACCUAAGAGUGAACGUCAUAGAAGCACAAGAUGUUGAGCCACAGGACAAAAGUCAACCACCCCAAGCAUUUGCAAAAAUUCAAGUAGGAAAGCAAAUAUUGAAAACAAAGCUAUGUUCAACAAAAACCACAAACCCAGUUUGGAACGAAGACCUAAUCUUCGUCGUAGCUGAGCCGUUCGAAGAACAACUCGUUUUAACGGUCGAAAACAAAGUAUCAUCUGCAAAAGACGAGGUCGUGGGAAGAUUAAUAACACAACUAAACGGAUUUGAGAGGCGUUUGGAUCAUAGAGUAGUUCAUUCACGUUGGUUCAAUCUUGAGAAGUUUGGAUUUGGAACAUUAGAGGGAGAUAAAAGGCAUGAAUUGAAAUUCUCAAGUAGGGUUCAUUUAAGGGUAUGUCUUGAAGGAGCUUAUCAUGUAAUGGACGAAUCAACAAUGUAUAUAAGUGAUGUAAGGCCAACAGCAAGGCAACUUUGGAAACAGCCAAUUGGGAUUUUUGAAGUCGGGAUUUUGAGUGCUCAAGGGCUUCAACCAAUGAAGAAGAAUGAUGGGAAAGGAAGUACAGAUGCUUAUUGUGUGGCAAAAUAUGGCCAAAAAUGGGUUAGAACAAGGACAGUAACUGAUAGCUUUAAUCCAAAAUGGAAUGAGCAAUACACUUGGGAGGUUUAUGAUCCUUGCACUGUCAUCACAAUUGGGGUUUUUGACAAUUGCCAUUUGGGUGGGAAUGAUAAGAAUGAUUCAAGAAUUGGGAAGGUAACAUACUAAUUCACCAUUACAAUUCAUAGCUUAAUCAGAACUAUAUUUUCAUUAAAUUGAAAAUUUCAUCCAAAGAAAAUUAGAAUUUAAUUCAACUAAAUUUGUUACGAAAAUAUUGGUAGAGAGUUUGUACGAUUAUAUCAUGUUAUAGAAAUUAUUUAUGAGAUCUUACCCAAUCAUAUAGUCUAAAUUUGAGAUUUCUAAAAAAAUAUAAAGACUAAAUUUGUGAUUUAGCUAAACUAUUAUUUUAACUAUUUGAAAAGUGAUUUCCAAUUUGGUAGAUUGGCUAAAUGUAUUUUGAUUUAUAUCUUCUUUUUCUUUAUAAAAGCUUUCAGCUUUAUUCUAUUUUGAUACUUAAGCUUUUAUUAUUUUAGUCUCUUUCAACUUUAACAUUACAAUUAUUUUGGUUUUAAAAUUUUGUAAGUGUUUACUUUAUUCAUUCAACUUAGAAAAUGGUCAUUCGAUUUCUAAAGUUUUUCGAUAUCUAUUUUAUUAUGUCCUUGAAGUUUUCAAUAUAAGUAACUAUAUUUUGGUGUUUAUUAAUGUGAUUUUAUUUUAGUGAAAAUAAAUAAAUAGUGUAUCUUUUUAAUAUAUAAAUGAGUGUGUUGAAAUUGGCAUUUAAGUCAUGUAGUUGGUGAAUGAUAGAACAUAUAAAUAGAAAAAUCAUUAAAGAAAAAUGUAAAAUGAUUAUUUUAAAAGUUAUGAACGGAAAUAGUUAAUAGAUUUGAUAAGAGCUCCAAUUCAAUAAGUUGGAAAGUUUAGUGACCAAGCUAAUAAUUAGGUGUAGUUCAUGUUAGUACGUAGAGUCCAUUAAUCUUAUUCAAAAACAGUGUGAUUUAAAAAAGGUUAAACAUAUGUGUCAAUCUUGUGAUUGAACACAAAGGAUGAGCGCAACCAAAUAUUUUUGUUUAACUAAUUCUUUUCAAUAUUAAUAUUAUAAUUAAUAAUUGAUUGUUUUAAACAGGUAAGGAUAAGACUUUCAACACUUGAAAUGGAUAGAAUCUACACCCAUUCAUACCCACUUCUUGUGUUGCAACCAUCCGGAUUGAAGAAAAUGGGAGAGCUCCAACUAGCCGUGAGAUUCACAUGCCUUUCCCUUGCUCACAUAAUCUACCUCUAUGGCCAUCCCCUCUUACCUAAAAUGCACUAUCUCCACCCUUUCACCGUCAACCAACUAGAUAGCUUAAGAUUUCAAGCAAUGAGCAUUGUAGCCACGAGGCUCGCUCGAGCCGAGCCGUCUCUACGAAAAGAAGUUGUAGAAUACAUGUUAGAUGUGGAUUCUCACAUGUGGAGUAUGAGAAGAAGCAAAGCCAACUUCUUUCGAAUAGUUGCUCUAUUCUCAGGCAUCAUCUCUAUGAACCGAUGGCUCGGAGAAGUUUGUCAAUGGAAAAACCCUAUUACUUCUGUCCUCGUCCACAUCCUCUACUUCAUCCUUAUAUGUUUUCCUGAACUCAUCCUCCCAACCACUUUCCUUUACAUGUUUCUCAUUGGCAUUUGGAACUUUCGGUUUCGACCACGACAUCCACCACACAUGGACAUAAAACUUUCUUGGGCUGAGGCAGUUCAUGCAGAUGAACUGGACGAGGAGUUUGAUACUUUUCCAACUUCGAAGACGCAAGACGUUGCACGAAUGAGGUAUGAUAGGUUGAGAAGUGUCGCCGGACGGAUCCAAACGGUGGUCGGGGACAUUGCAACUCAAGGGGAGAGGUUUAAGGCUUUACUUAGUUGGAGAGAUCCAAGAGCUACGAGUCUUUAUGUCGUGUUUUGCUUACUUGUGGCUAUUGCAUUGUAUAUUACACCGUUUAAGAUUGUGGCUUUGGUUGCAGGUGUUUAUUGGCUCAGACAUCCUAAGUUUAGGAGCAAAAUGCCAUCAGUUCCUUCUAACUUCUUUAGACGGCUCCCGUCUCGAGCUGAUAGCUUGCUUUAAAGGUUCAUAUAUUGGAUCCCCACUGUUUUAAGAAUCUAAUUCUGAAAAGAUUUCUCUUUCAAGUCUUAAUGUUUGUUUUUUUAUAUCCACCAAUGAUUUGGAAAAGGUCAUAAUUUAAUUUUUAUUUUUUAACAAAAUCAUCAUGUUUAUUUAUAAGGUAGAAAAGGUUUGUUAAAUAUUUAUUUCUCGAUGUUUAAUGUGUGGGCAUAUCUAUAUUUAUUUCAUGCCUACAUCACUUCCAUCAUAUUUUAAUUAAAAUUUAAAAACAAAGGGACAUUUAAAAAAGGAAUGCUGGCAAAACCAUUUAGGAAAAUUUAAAAUGUAGCUUGAACUUUUUAAAUAUCGCACAUAGAAAAAAUUCUCAAUUUUUUAUUUUAAUUUCUAUCAUAUUUCCAUUUUAUCCUAAAAUGUUUUACCUCCUCACACACCCUUCGUACUUAAACCCUAGCCAUCACUCCACUCUCAUGUUUCUAAAUAAAAGGCUAGUGUGUAAGUGAGAGAAAAAUGAAGAGCGUAAGCUCAAUAAUCGAACAUGCAACAGUGGGUGAUGACAAGUAGAAUGGUGGUCGACAACAAGUACUAAACCAGUGGUUGAUGACGGUAACAAGUUGGCGACGUUGGUUCUUCUUUUAAGAGAGAGUAGUGAGCAAACAUGUUGUGGAAGAGUCGUAGCGUUGACUCAUGACAAUAGAACGGUGAUAGUUGAGCAAAGCGGUGGUAGAGUGGGGACCGACAAAGUAUUGGUUGAUGAAAGAAGUAUUGGAGGGGUUUGGAGCAUGUGAAGGAAGAUGAAGAUAUUUUUUUUCUUUUUUUUUCUUUUUUCUUUUAUCUUUAUUUUUAUUUUCAGUUAAAUUUAAUAAACACUACUAUAAAUUUGGUCUGUGUUGAAGCACGCAAAUUUUGAUUUCUUGAUGGUCUUGACAAAGGACCAUCAAGAAAAAUAUUUGUCUUGAUACGAUAUUUAUCUUGACUGUCAUGUACGUCAAGAAAAGUGUCUUUAUUUUGUUGAAGAAAUACGGAAAAACAUAAAAAAAAAAUGUGGAUUCUUGAUUUUCUUGAUGGACAAAGAUCCCUUAAUUUUGUUGAUAGUUCACAAACAUCAAGAAAACUAUUUUUGGAUGGACUAUAUGUCACACCCCGAUUUAGGUUUUUCUCUCUAACCUAAAUCGUGGCAUGAUAAGACAUUUUUGAAAACGACAUUUUUCAACUUAAAUUUUAUAGAAAUUACAUUAAGAAAUUCUACAAAAAUUUUGGCAGCAUCUCCCCUAAAAUUUGAGGUAGCCAAACCUGAAAAUGGAGAUAUCUUCACUUCUAAACGUAUAUAACUAGAUUUCAGAUACUACAACACAACAAGUGUGUCUCACCACACACCUCCAGACAAUCUCAGAGUGCAAGUAGAGUUUAAGAAUCAAGCUAGAUAUUACAUACAAAACGAUUACGUUCUAAUGAGGAAACUUUCAAAACACAAGUCCUUAGCGUCACCCUUGUUACAUCUAACCACCCCAUGAUACAAACGCAAAAUUAUAAUCGAUGACGGGGAUUCAACCGACGCUUAGUCCUUGGCCGCUACCUGGGGAAGAAGAAAAACAUUGAAAACAUAAGCUGAAAGCUCAGUGAAUGACAAAUAAUUAGAUAUGAAAAAUUGUAAAAUAUGCUCAAAAUAACGUGUAAGUAUGCAUUGAUAAUGAAAUAAUUAUAAAUCAAAUGUCAUCAUUACAUAAUACUAUACAACACGGAUCAAGCCGAUAAACCUGUACUCAAUCCACCAUGACAAGGAAUCUAAAUAUACGACCAAGAAUAGCUCGCACAUGAUCAAAGAAUCAUGCGGUCACAACUAGCUCACACAUAUUUAGUACUGACCACGAUAGUAACCUCUAUCCAAUCCGACCAUGAUAGCAUACUAAAUACACGAUCCAAAAUAGCUCACACAUGAUCCAUAUACACAAGGAAACAUGCGGCCAAAUAUAACUCACAUAAUACUUAGCACCUACCAUAGUAACAACAUCCAUCCAAUCCAACCAUGAUAGCAUACUAAAUACACAGUCCAAAAUAGCUCACAUGUGAUCCAUAUCCUCAAAGAAACACACGGUCAAAUGGGGCUCACGCAUACUUAGCACCUACCACAGUAACAACCUCCAUCCGCUCCUAUGUGCACAUAGAGCCACCCACAAUGUGUUAAACUAGGCCUGAAGCCAUAUCUCAAUCCUCCAUCCAUAUCCUCACUUAAACUCAAGUUCUCGGAUCUCUGGUCACGGUCUCUUUCAGCCCCAAAAUCCUCUGACAAUCGUAGGUAGUGCUUCGGAAACACAUUCGUGUAGCUUAUGGGUAAAUCACCAUCAUUAAUAAAAUCACAUAGUUCACACUUAAAAACCAGACAUGGUCCUUAGUCAUCAACACAUACUUUUUUAGUAACAUUUUUAUAAAAAUUCUAAACAUACACAUUCAUAAAAUCAUUGUGAGUAAAUAUGUUGUUUAAGCAUAAAUGGAAACAUAGUUAUAACAAGUUUAAAUUGGAGUAGUUUCCAAGUUAUAUCAUAAAUAACAUGUACAAGUACAAACAAAGCUUGAAAACGAGCCACUCAUAGUCAAUGACUCGAUCUUCCAGGAUUAUAUGCUCUUUCCACUUCAAUUUGGCCUAAAAUAAGGAUCAUGGUCAUAUCAAUAUCUUUAUAUGAUAUGAGGCUACAAUUAAUUGCAAAAGUACUUCGUAAGGUCGCUAAAAUCUAUUUGAUGCUUCUAAUGUCCUUGAAUCUAUAAAGCGCCUAAGAUUAGACUAAACAUUUCACAUACGAUCCCUUAAACUCGCGGAAAUCUCAAUACUUAACCCAAUGAGCAUCCAACUUAGUUCAAGCUCAAUGGGUCCUUUACUCCAUAUUUUUCCAAAAAUUUGCCAGCUUUAAUAGGCUAACUUCAACUACUCAUAACUUCUUCAAUACUUAAUAAACAUUUAUGUACUUUAUAUCCAAAUCUUCAUUUUGGAAUCCUCUACAACUUACUUGAAGGAAUAGAAAUGAGAUUUCCUAGGGAUUAACACAAAAUUCGCCCGAAACGCAGGUAAGGAAAACUCACAUCUUUUGCUUACUUCCAAUUUUGAUCUGAAUUUAACCUACUUUCCUUCAUUUUUAGUUCAUGAUUUGUUUGUGAAAGUUGUAGGAAAUUUAACAAGAGCUCCUAACUCAAAGAGUAUAAUUCAGAAUACAAAAAAAAAACUAGAGACUUUAUGAAUUUGUUUUAAAAAUUUGUGAUCCAACUUCUUCCACAAAAAUCAUCAACUAAACUUGAGUAUUUGCUUGAACUUCCUUCACAACUUUUGUUGAAAAAUGAAUUAACUUUGAAAUAAAACUAACCUUAUAUUUUAAUUCUUCUUGUGUAGCUCAAACCAAAAUAAAAACUACCAAUGGUCUGUGAAAACCAUUCCAAACCUUACCAUUAACUUAAUAAAUACCAUUAACUUCAAUGAACAACACCCCCACUACCUUCUAAAUUCGAAAAUUAAGCAUCCAACAUCAUGGUUUAUUCGAUACUAUCACUAAAAUUAUAUGGGUAUCAAGACUUACUCCAUAAUGCUUAGAAACUUACCCAAGUUGUGCGAAAAGAUCCAAUUCCAAGCUUCCUAAAGGCUGGACAACAACUAAAAUCUUCACAGACUCCAAAUCUAACAACAAAAUUUAAUUGGCAUUGCAAAAUCAAAAUCUGCAAAAUCGAAACUUAAUGGGUGUUCAAAAAAACAUCAAGUAAUCCAACUAAAAUUAGUAAACCCUUACCUGAAACUCCAAAAUCCAACUAUCAAUAACAAGAUUGAGUGAGAGGAAACUCUGUACAUGAGAUUUAUUCAAAACCCAUGCAAUAGUGAUGUGAGUUGUAACUUGAGCAACCAAGGGACGAUGCAGCUCAGAAACAACUGAACCAAGUCGGUGUUGCGUUUCAGAUCUAGCGUGGAUGACGUGUGUUGUGGCGGCUGAUCGUCGACUAGCGAAUCAAACAGGGGUUCCUCGUCGACGUGUGGGUGUGCAACCUAUCAGUUGUGGCGUCUUAGAUUCCUAUCCAAUUCCUAAAAGAAUUAGGAAUGAUAUUUAAGAUUUUUUAAAACAAAUCUAAUUCCUACAAAGAUUAGAAAUGAUAUUUAAUCAUUUUUUAUAACAAAUCUAAUUCCUAAAAGGAUUAGAAAUAAUAUUUAAUUUUUUUUAAUAAUAAAGAAAAGAUAAUUCAAUUAUCUUAUCUUAUUAUAUUCAAUAUUUAAAAUAGAAAAGAUAAUCUAUCUUAUCUUAUUUUAAAUUUUUUCAUUUUUUGGGAUAAUCAUGAGUUUAUUUUUUUAGACAAUCAAGGUGUUUGGAUAUUAUCUCCUAUUUUAAAAUUAAAAUUUGGGUUCAAAAUCCAAGUCAAAUUAACUUACAUAUGUGGCAUUCUAUUUAUCUAAAAUUAAAAUCGAAGUCAUCAAUCCAACUUUAUCCCAAAAUGCAGUCUUUUAUUUAUCUCAAAUUAAAAAUGGUCAUUCCAAAUUCUUGUGCAUCUUGAAGAUAAGUUAGGGUUUGGUAGAAACACAUCAUCCUUAUUUCAAAUUAAAAUUUGGUUAUGUUCCAAUUUUUUUUUUUAGAAAAAAAUGAAAUUUAAAAUUUUAUCUUCAAAUCAAAUUGAAUUAAAGAUAAAACCCGAAACUUUUCUCAAAUUAAUUAAGGUUUAGCCAUAUACCAACUCUUAUUUCAAAUUUAAAUCAAACUUAUGUACUAAUUUCAUAGUUUGAUUUUUUUUAAAAAAAUGAUCAUAUUUUGACUUCAAAUUUAUCUUUUUCGAGAUUCAUUCAUCAAUUACGUGCAUAAAUCUCGAAAAUGGGCAUUUGUUGAAUAUGAAAUUUUAAGACCAAUCAUAAAUUACCACAUCAUUUACUAAAGUAAUGAUGUAAAGUACAAAUAAUUGAAUUUGAAACUAAUUAAAAAAUUAACAUAUGUCCCAAAUUAAAAUUGAAAACAUAAACCGGUCAAUUAUGAUAAUGUCACAUGUUUUGAUCAUAACUUUUGGAUCAAGUUAAUUAUUUUGAUUCAAUUAAAUAUUAUGUAUUAGGGCUAAGUUCAAUUGAGCAAAAAAAAAUAGGACUGUCAAGAAAAAUAACAAAUUAUGACUUUUACUUUGAGAAAAUAACAAAAAUAUAAAUUGUUAAAAUAACAAAACAUAAAAAAUAAAAAAAUAAAUAACAUAUAUGUAAGAUACAAUUGUUCACCUAAAUCUCAAAGACAUUGUAAUUGAAAUAUAUAUGCUACAUAAAAAUUUCCUCCAAAAACAUAAAGAUUAGAAAAUUUUCCUCCAAAAACAUAAAGAUUAGAAAAGUUAUCAUUAAAGGGAAGCUCAAAAUUUAAAAAUCUCUGAAAGUGAUCAUUUUUUCCUUGGAUUUCAGCCGCUUACUUCCUUCUUUCAUUUGAAACCCUAAAGAAAGUAUGAACCAUUUGAAACCAUCAAUUCAUCAAAGAAUUCAAAAGUGGAGCAGUGUUGAUAUUAUAAUAAAGAUGAAAUCAUGAAAUUAUACCAUAGAAUUCAAAACUAAUAUACAUCUUAGCAAGAUACGCAUCGGUGAGUUCGUCUACUCAAUUCGGUGAGUUCUUCAAGUUCUUCAUACAUUCAAGAUUCAUUUGAGCUCUUUUCUUCUCUUGUUUGAAAACAAACUACCUCUCAUUAUAUUUGUCUCUGUUCGGCUGCUUCCUCUCUCAAUCACCUUCUUUUCUUUUCUCUCAUAAAACCUAAAACUAAAAUAUUCAAAUAAUUGUAAAAGUGUCAUUGAAGCAUAAUUAAAUUAUAAAAUUUAAAUUCAAAUUGUUGUUAAAAAUAUAUAUUUAAAAUCAAAUUCAAAUUGUUAUAAAAAAAUAUAUAUUAUAUAUUAUUUAAUAAAUUGUUAAAAAAUGGUUUAAAAUAUAACAAAUUUGAAAAUAUUGUAGAUAAUAAAAUAUAAUAAAUUAUUUAAAAUAUAACAAAUUCAAAUUCAAAUUUAUGAUGGGAUUAGAUUGAGGAAUAGUUGAAAAUCCCCCACUUUUUUAGGAAAAAUAUUUAUUAAAGAUAAGUGAAUUAAAUAAAUAAAUGUUAAUUAAUUUGAUUUAAAUACUAAAAAUUUGAAAAUGGGUUAUGAAUUGUAGACAUAUAUUUAGUAGAUAUUGGAGAAAUCUUGCCAAUCCUAAAAAUAUCAUAAAUUAGUUAAUAUUUUUCAAAACUGAUUGCAGUUUGCAAAUACAUCGUAUCGGUAAAACACAUAUUAUCCUACAUAAAAAGGUAUAAACACGUAUUGUCCUACAUAAUAAGAUAUAAACACGUAUUAUCCUACAUAAUAAGAUAUAAACACGUAUUAUACUUAUUGAUUUAGACAUACAUAGCAAGGAUGAUUGGAAAUAAAACGUCACAUACAAAAUAAAACGUCUAAUUAAAAUAAAUAUGAAUAUUAACGUAAUUAAAAAACACAAUGUGAAAAAAUAAUUAUUUGAUACAAGUGGCACAAUAAGUUAUGUUUUUUUAAAAUAAAAAUCAACCAAAAUAAGUGUAUGAUCAUAAUUAGCACGUUUAUAGGGAUGAAAUAUAAUGACUCAGGAAUUGUUGAAAUUCUCAUAACCAUUUUUUAUAUUAUUCAUACGUACUAUUUAUUAUCUAACAAUUUUUUAAAAAUAAUUUGAAAUAUAAAUCAUAUGAAAAAUAGUGAAUUGAUGAUUGCCAUUAUUUUAGGGUUUGGAUUUCAUAAUAUUUGAAUUCAAAAUAUUUAUAAAUCUAAUGAAUAAGUAACAGUCGAAAAUCUUUUAGCAAUUUUUGCGAAAAAAUCUUUAUUAAACAUCUUUUAUGAAUUAAAUAAAUAAAUGUUAAUUAAUUUGAUUUAAAUACUAAAAAUCCAAAAAAUUGUUAUGAAUUAUAGACAUAUAUUUAGGGAAUAUUGGGGAAAUCUUGUCAAUCCCAAAAUAUCAUAGUUAAUAUUUUUCAAAACUGAUUGUAGUUUGUAAAUACCCUAUAUGUGAUAUUUGGCCUCAUUAUUUGCACGCAAAUACAUUGUAUCUGUAAAACACGUAUUAUCCUACAUACAAGGUAUAAACGGGUAAAAAAAAUCUUUGAUACAUUGUGUGUAGGUUGUUGUGUAUUUACUUCAUUGUUCAAACACGAUGUAUUUCUGAUUGACCCAACAGGUGCAGAAUCAACAACCACGACAAAAUCAUUGUCAGAGAAUUUUGUCAUAAUCCACAUAAGCCACUACACGUCUUCGUCUUCAACAAUCUGAAUAAGGUUUGAACUAUUGCAUCCAUCCCAAUAAAGGGUAAUGUGACACACAAAAAGAUCUAAAGAUGGAAAAAGUUUAUCUUGAAUGCACUGUAAGAAUACUUGAAAUGAAGAUGAGCAUGAAACAAAUACAUCAACCACACGAUACUCAAUAUAUCGAGAAUAUUCCAUCCAUCUUCCAUAAAAAAAGAGUCUUCACAUGUUGCAUUGUCAUUAGAAGAAACAAUAGAUGAUAAAGGUAAAGGAAUUAAAAGAUAGACGAACAAUAAAGUCGACAGUUGCUGAGAAAAAAAUUCUAAAAUAUGAUAAAUGCAAAAUUAUUUACCAAACUACAAAUAAAUUCAUUUGAAUAGUGUUGUACCUCAAAAUAAAAGUCUAAUUAAAAAACUAUGUAGGCUAAAUGAUACAAUUAGAUAAUUUUAGAUAAAAAUCAUAUUAUUCUCUUGAAUUUUUUGGGAUAUUGGCAUUUGAAUAAUAUUGUUUAGUGUUUUGGUGGUCUUAAAUCAAACUUUAAAAUGAACUUUUAAAUAAUAUUAAAUAAUAUCUAUGGAAAAUAUAUCUUAUUUAACGAUAGUUCUAUAAAAGGAUUUUAUUCCCCCUAAUUUCGAUGCAUUUAACGUAUGUAUCAUUAUUUUAAUGAAAAUUUUGUCAUUCAUACACAUGUUAUACUAACAUAUAUUUUUGUUAAAUAAUGUUAAUUCAUUAUUAUUAAUAUGACCAAUUCAUUUAUGAAAUAUUUGUUACAUGCAUAAUUAUAGGGUUUAGGCACGAUACACUAAGUUGUUAUUAUAUUAAAUGCAUAAUUUUAGGGAAAGAUAUAAUUUUAAAUUCAUUUUGAAGAUCUUCCAACUAAAACUUUUAAAAUCAAGUGAUAAAAUAAAUAUUUAUUACAAUAUAUAUAAUCCGAAAACAAUUAAGGAUAAAUAUGAAAAUUUUUGAAUUUAUAUGAUAUGUUUAGAUAUUAAUAAUAAUUAACCAAACCUUAAGGAACGUACAAUGAAUAAAUUAUAAUGAAUCAUUUUAUGAAAAAUUAUGUAUUUAUAAGAUAUAAUAACAUGUUAUUAAGAAUUAAGCAAAGAUUAUAAAACGUACCCUGUAGGAAUAAUAUUAUCAAUGAUUUUAUGGUGUAAAUUAAAUAGUGUGAAAUAAAUAUAUAUUUUAUUAAAAAUAAUUUGUUAAGCAUUUGAUUUGAAGUGUACAAAUCUGAUUAUCGGUUAUAAAUUGAAGGCAUGAAUCUAACAUUUGUUGGUUAAAUGAGAUCAAUAUGAAAAAUAAAUAUUUAUUUAAUAUUAUUAUAAAAUUGAAUUAUAUGCAAAUACACUAUAAUCGUAAUUCUGUGUUACAUUAUAUUAUUUUACGCUGCAGAAAUACACUAAGUGAAAAAAAAUGAGUUUCAUAUUAUCAAUGGAUAAAAUUGGUUCAAAAUUUGUCAAAAAAAAAAAAAAAAAAAGAUCUAUUUCAUGCGAUUUUACCAAAUAUCAAAUUAUUUUGAAAAUUUUAUAUUUUCCAAAUUGUACUAUAUUAUUUUGUCAUUCUCACGCUUAUCUAAAAAAAUAAACUUAAUUGAGUUCAAAAGCUAAAUAUGACUCAAAUCCAUGUGAUUGAAUCCAUGGGUCUGGUCCAUGGACCAACUAGGCUCAAGCCUAUAAAACCCACCAGAGAACUCUAUAAAUAAAGCUCUCGAAUUGCUCAUUUUUUAUUUAAAGGAAAAAGACUGAUUUGUCAUUUCUUGGUCGAUCAUUGAAUAAAACGUAAACACAAGUUAAGUAAGGGCUUAUUAUUGCUCGUCUACAAAUAUCCAAAUUUUUAUGCCUAAUAUCCCAUAGAUAGUUCGAACUGGAUAGCAACAAUAAUCAAUUUUAGCUCGAAUGGUUUGUAGAGGAACCCGUCCUUCUCUGAUCCAUUCGACACGUGCAAUUUCUUUUCCGUCUAUACGUCCGGCAAUUUGUACUUGAAUUCCCUUUGUACCCGCCUGUUCAGUUAAUUCAAUAGCUUUUUUCAUUGCUUUGCGAAAUAUCAUUUGUAAGAGUUGAAAAUUUUUCUCUAGAAAGUCUAGAAAGAAUUCGUCUGUUGAAGUCAAUUGCGCUCCCUUGAAGAUUGAACCUCCUUUGAAGAUACAGACUUUCUUCCAAGACUCAAACUUCAAGAACAUCACAUAUUUCGCUUGUUCAAAUCAAGCACAAGCAUCCAAUCGAGAGAGAAUCAGAUGAUCAAAUUCUAGUGAUCGAACCACAUCGCAUCAAAUCAAUAAAAAUAUAACAUUAACUUAAGUUCAACUUCAUUUGAAUCAAAUUUCUUCUGAAAUCUUGUGUGAACAACAAAUUUUUUGUUAAUCUUGCAAACUGGAAUAAAAAACAAUAAUUACACAAAGAAAAAAGAAAUAAAAUAAAAUAAAUAAUAAAUUAACUAAACAAAAAAAAUAUUAAAAGAUUUCCUUGACGCACGUUUGUCACGUCGGAGAAGGGUUUUUGCCACGUGAUGUUGCAAAAAGCCUUCCCGACGUGCUGACAAUGUGCUCUGGUGAACGUUUUUCCGUCGUCGACAUGAUCUACUUUGGGAAAAGUAUCCCCGACGUUCCUUCUGACGUCAAAGUAAACUUUUCCAACGUGUUUUGAGGUUUUUGCCGAUGUGAGGCUGCGUUGGGAAAGACCAUAUUUCUUGUAGUGAUAAUUGAGUAUUUAAAGUUUUUAUUGAAAUUUUAGUAUCAUCUUUAAUUUUUUAUAAGAGAGAUUUUAUUUAUUUUAGUAGUAAUGAUCUCAACUUAGUACAAAGAGUUGGAUAAUUAUAGUAUUACCCUUCAACCAAUAAUAUAAAUUCAAAUGGAUUAAAUACUAAAAUAUUGUUAUUUCUAAAACUUUUACCAAAAUACUGCAAUUUCAAAAUUGUUUACAAAAGUGAUGUUUUUUUUUCUCUAUCUUCGGGCAAGUCUUCAACACUCACCCAUUUCCUUCUUUUUCUCCCCCUCAAGACUCGCCCAAUCUUUGCCUUUUUUUUUUCUUUUUAAAAUUUAUUUAUUUAUAGUUUUUCAUAUAAAUUUUGUUGUUGUCUUUUUAAAAAAAUUAUUUGUACACAUUUUAACUCCAUGGCCUGUUCUUCUUCUUUUUUUAAUAUUUUUAUAUUAAUUUUUAUCUUUGUUCUUCAAAUUUUCAUAUAAUUUUUAAUAAAAUUUUAUAAGAAUUAUUAAAAUUAUUAUUAUUUAUUUAUUUAUCAGGUAUUUAUGUUGUCAAGUUAUACUAAUACUCUACUCUUGAAAUUUUAAAUUUUCUUAAAAAAUAUUUAAUAACAUUAUUAUUCAUGUAUGUUUUUUUGUUACACAAAAAAUACACUCUUGAAACUUCAUAUUUUUUUUAAAAAAAAUUUAAUUUUGUUUAGAGCACCCAACAAAUUUUAAUGAACAUUUAAAAAAAUAUUAACGUUAUCUUGUGUUUGUUAAUUUAUUUUGUCAAUCAUUCGAGUAUUCCUAAAAUUUGAUUUUUUUUUAAAAUUAGUAUAGUUUAGCUUUUAAGAAAAAAAAUUAUCUUAAAAAUUAUAUGAAAAAUUGAAGAAGAAAGAUAAAAAUUUAUAUGAAAAAAUAUUAAAAAAGAAGAAGAAAAAGUAAUGGAGUUAAAAUGUAUACAAAUAAUUUUUUUUAAAAAAAAACAACAAAAUUUAUAUGAAGACGACCAAGAAGAGGAGAAAAAGAAGGGGGUGAGUAAAAGAAGGAAAUGGGCGAGUGUGAAGACUCGCUCAAAGAGAGAAAAAAAGAAGUAUCAGUUUUGAAAUUGCAGUAUUUUCGUAAAAAGUUUUAGAAAUGACAAUAUUUUAGUAUUUAAUCCAAAAAUUAUGAAGAAAUAAAUUUGGAUUCAUUUUUUUAACCAUUACUAAAAAGUGAAAAGUAGAUAACAAAUUGUAAAGUUGUAAUUUUACUUGGUUUUGAAAGAAUCCUAUGUAUUCAUAUUAACGAAAACAAGUUUCUUCCAGAUUUGAUAACAUUUCUACGUGGGUCCUAAGUAUUUCCCAUUUUAAAUAAACGUUGUGUGUGUGAACUGAAUGCAACUGAAAAACAGCAUGCUUUUUGCACACCAUUUAGAAAGCUGUCUCAGCUUUUUCUUCAUCAAACAGUAAGGGAAAAUGGUAUCAAAUUCUUGAAAAUUAACUUUCUUAACCAUUUAAAUUCCAAUAAUCAACCAGCUUUAUAAACUAAAUAUUUCUUGCAAUUAAAAUUGAAUGAAAGGAAUUUUAUUUAUAAACAGCUACAUCAUCCCCUCCAUUUUGUUCGAACAUAUCCAUUCUUCUCAAACCCUAAACAACAACAAUGCAUUCUCCCAACCUCCUCCUCCUCCUCCUCCUCCUCUUCUUCUUCACUGUUUCAUAUGCAGAACUUUGCCAUCCAAAUGACAAAAAGGUCCUCCUCAACAUCAAAAAAGCCUUCAACAAUCCCUACAUUCUUACCUCAUGGAAACCUGAAGAAGAUUGUUGCACUUGGUAUUGUGUUGAAUGUGAUCGGAAGUCCCAUCGGAUCAUUGCCCUCACCGUCUUUGCCGACGACAAACUCUCUGGCCCAAUCCCACCCUUUGUGGGUGACCUCCCGUUCCUCGAAAACCUCAUGUUCCACAAGCUCCCAAAUCUCAUUGGCCCCAUCCCACCUACCAUUGCAAAACUCAACAACCUCAAAUACCUUGACCUAAGCUGGAACGGUCUCUCUGGUCCUGUCCCCAGCUUCCUCGGCUCCCUUUCCAAUCUCGAUGUUCUCGACCUCUCCUUCAACCGUUUCACUGGCUCCAUCCCUAGCUCUCUUGCCAACCUCCGCCGCCUUGGAACUCUCCAUUUGGAUCGAAACAAAUUGACAGGACCCAUACCCGAAUCAUUUGGAAACUUCAAGGGAAAAGUCCCUUAUCUCUACCUAUCCCACAACCAACUGUCUGGAAAAAUUCCAAUUUCUAUGGGGAAAGUGGAUUUCAAUUACAUUGAUUUGUCGAGGAACAAGCUCGUGGGCGAUGGAUCGUUGAUAUUCGGUUCAAAGAAGACGACAGAAAUUGUGGACUUGUCAAGGAACUUGUUAGAGUUCAACAUGUCGAAGGUUGUGUUUCCUCGAACCUUGACUUAUUUGGAUCUUAACCAUAACAAGAUCUUUGGGGAAAUUCCAACCGAGGUUGUGAAGUUGGAGUUGCAGAUGUUUAAUGUGAGUUACAAUGCACUUUGUGGUCGGAUUCCGAUGGGAGGAAAGUUGCAAAGCUUUGACGUAUACUCCUAUUUUCAUAACAAGUGUUUGUGUGGUAAGCCACUUGGUAGCUGCAAAUGAUGAAAUGGUGAAAUCACUCCCCAACACAUUCUCCAUUAUUAUUAGUGAUUUUAUUUUGUUUUUGUUGCUUUUUAGUAUGUUAUGAGAGUUUGUUUAAGUUGGAAUUUGUACAAAUUUGGAGUCUAGGAACUUAAUUUUUAUGUGGUUUUACCACAUGAAGAAUUUAACUUCCAUCUACGUUAGCCUAGAUAUAUCCAAGUGUAAAUUUUCCAACUGUUAAAGCUAUGUCCGUUUUGUAGUUUGUUAUUAUCUUAUUGUAGCGGAAAAUAACGAGUUUGUGUUUAGCUUGUGUUGAGCCAUUAUACAAAUUCAGUACUUUUGUCUCCAAUACAUUAUCGUUUCAUAGCACACUUUUUUAACUUAUGUACAUAAGAAGAUUUUCUAAGACUGCUAUUAAAUAGAUUAAAACUAAUGUAACCUAAAUUAUUACUAUAAGUAUUUUGUCUACUCUUACAAAAUUUAAUUUCAAACCAUUUAGUUUUCAAUUUCAUGUUAAUUAGAUAAAAUUAGAGUGUUUCAUUUCAAUUUUCUUCCGCAACAAUGCUCGAUUAUCAAUCAAUUUAAAUCUAUCCAUCAACGAUAAAAAUCUAAAAUUUUGUUAUAUUUUAUAAAUAUAUUAAUUUAUUCUAUUAUAUUUAAAAAUACUUCCCUAUUUUAAAUUUCUCUUUUCCUCCUUUUUGUUUUUUUCUUUCCACAAGUUUGUUUGGUAUUAUUAAGGCAAAAGAUGAUCCUCUUGGGCAAGCUGUUGAUAAGCCUUGGAAGUACUUGAUUGAUUUUAUUUUGUAAACGGCCGUACGUUCUGCCAAUAUUCCUUCUUGUGAUACCCGUGAAGAGAGAUAAGUAUAGUGUGUAUACAUUCUUCAACUUAAAAUUUAUUUCAACACAACAUUUUAAUUUUCAUUCAAAUGAGAUAAAUAGAAAAAUUAUGUGUGAUAAAUGCUUUAUGGUAAUGUCAACAUUAUCAUUUUUUUCAUUUGAACUUUUCAAAACAACCAUUUUCCAUUAGCUUUUUCUUUUAAAAUGGAUCGGUUGAAAUAAUUAAAUAUAAUAGGGUGAGUAAGUACAAUGUAUUGAAGAUAUGAUAUAUAUAAGAACUAAAUAUACUUAGCAAACUUAUUACACCUCAACUAGAAAUAAUAUAAUCAAUGUAAUUAUAUUCAAACUCAAACAUUGAUUGCUUAUGAAGGAGACUACAAUGUUUGUCCCAACAUGAUAGAAGGAUUACUCUAGUAGCAGUAUAAUUUCAAAUUACUUGAAUCUGAAACAACGUUUCCACAAAUUUGCUCUUAAAUCAUCUUGAGAUUUUUUUUUAAAAAAAGAACUCUUCCAUUUUCGAAUAGGGUGCAAGAAAUGAUAGAACAAAGUUGCUAUGUACAUACUAAGUGUCUAAAAUAUAUAAUAAAUUUAAAAAAAUAUACAAAAAUGGAAAAGAUUUGUCAAAUUUAGGGCAAUUGAAUCAUGAGUUGACCGAUAUCAAACAUAACUCAUUUUAAAAUUAAGAAACGACAAAUUUAAAUUUUGUAUUUGUUAAAUUUAUGCAUGAAUCAUUAAGUUUUAAUUCAAUCUGAAAAUUUCUAACUUUCAAUUUAAUCUACAAAUUAAAAUCAUUUUUGUUUAUGUUUCAAUAUUCAAAUGCUCGGUUUUGCUCGUUUUAGUGUGAAUAUCCAACACGUGCGCCACUAAAAUAAAAUAUCAAUGAAUUUUAGGUUUGGCUUUACAUCGAUUAUACAAGCGUUAGAGGUGAUCAUGCAUAUAUAGAAAAUCUUAAAUGUCUUUUGUAUUUCGUACCGCUUAUCGUUCUGAACUAAUAUUUUGUAUUACGUACUACUUAUCUUUUGGUUACAAUUUAUCAUUUAAUAUAUAUAUAUCAAACAGAUUUUUUUAAAAAUAUAACAAAACAACGAAAUAUUUACACGGUAUAAAACAAUUUUGAAAACGAAAAAAAGCUCACAACCCACAAUAGAAAAUACAAAAAAUAUUCCAUGAUUAAUUGGCGUAAUAUGUUUGAAAAAUGAUUAAACGAUUUUUUUCAAGAUUUUUUUGGUACGCGAUCGUUUAGGUUUGAUACAUGAUCAUUUAAAUUUGAGUAGCCAAAUCAAACGAUGUUUUUAAAAAAUUUUUGGUACGAUCGUUUAGAUUUGACACGUUUACAUUUUUUGGUACUUGGGGAAAGGAAAACUUAAACUAUAACCCAAAUGCAUAGUGUGUGAUAACUUUAGGAAAACCUUUGGGGAAUACAAGAUCUUGCAUAAACUCAUUUUACAAGGACUUUUCAAAGCACCUCAUCUCAUGCCAAAACUUUUAGCACACAUUAGUCUCUACUUAUUCCUUUUUACCUGGACGUUGAACUCCCUCAAGGCUAUCAUGAUGACUCAUUUCACCAUUAGUAUCACCACAAACCCUUAUUCAACUCCAAUUGGUUAAGCGAUAGACUUGAACAUGGAUCACUUUACGUGUACAAUCAUCCUUCUGCCAAGCGAACCACUUAACACAAGACAACCUCUACUCUUAUGUACACAUAAUAGCUAGCUCAUGAUAGAAAUAAAACUAAUGGUUUAUUUACAUACAAGUAUAAGAAGAAAACGUACAUUUACUCAUAAAACAAACUUUUAACCGUCAAAUUUUUCAUAUUAAACAUAAAUCACAUUAGAACAUGCAUUCUACUUUGCAUAACAUUAACAUCAACAUGACACGAGUUUGGAAAGAAAACUUUGUAAAACAUAGUCCCUUUCUUUAGAAAAGUUAAUCGCGAAGCCUAGCUUUCUUUAACUUAGUCCUUCUUUCCCCUUGUCGCUUGUUCUUUCUAUUUCUUCUCUCUACUAAAUGCCAAACUUCAUGAACUUUUCUUCUCGCCUAAUACACUUUCGACAGAGUUGCAAUACUUAGAGUUUCCUUCAUACUUCCUUCGAAACCUUAAAUUUUAUUUAUAUUAGUCCUAAACUGGAUUAGUAAUCACUUAGCUCAUCUUAGCUUGGUAGCUUCUUCUCAGUGCUUUACAAGUGUAAAUUUAACAUAUUCUUUAACCAUGCUUAACGCUAACCUAACACGUAAGAUGUUGACUAAUUUGGAUUAAAAGCUUUACUUAAAUUUCCAACUUUCUUUCCUUGCCAACAGACCCUUUUUCAGCUAACUUAAAACACACACUCUCCUUGCGUCUGGCUAACCGAAACGUGUACUCUUCCUUGCAUCAUUGGUCAAGUCGAAAAAUACAACGCAUUGCUCUUGUACUUAACCAUUUUCACUCAUUUUACCAUAUAAUACGAGUACUUAACCUAAAUUUCUUCUUUUUAACCCUUCGGCUAGCACACAGGCUUCACAACUUAGGUUGGCAACAUUGGCUAGGCGAGUUGCAUACAUGCGGUAAAGGAAAAACACGCGAGCAAGGGCCAUACAUAAAAGUGUGCGACAAGGCUUAGAUGAGCAUGCAAGUAGACAUGCGGGAAAAAGAAGUUUUAGGCAUUUUGAACAAGAGGUAGAAGUGAAAUCCAGGUAUCAUGGCAUAAAAAUACCUAGGUUUUACAAGUGGAAGGCUUGGGGAGGAAACCAUGUAAGUAGGAGGUGUCAAAACAUUUUCAUGCAAGGUCCAUUUUAAAUAGGUAACUUUGGAUGAAUAGAGUUACCAUUCUACCUAUGCAAAUUUUCUCAAAUCAGGUCCAAAGAACUGUGAGUGAGUCUAAUUGUUGAGACAGGGCUGCCAGACUAAAAAGAGUUGAGGAAGAAGUUCAACUUCUAAGCUAAAGCAACAAAGGUCAUUAUGUGGGUGAGAUUGAGGAAUGUUGAGUUCUUGAGGCCAAUAAAACACAUGACAUGGAAUCUUAAGGUAGAAUUUGAAGGUAAGAUACUUAAGACAUUUCUAAACAACUUUAUGGAAGGAAGUUGUCUCAUUUGAGUUACAAAGUUUAAGUUAUUGACCUUUAAAGCUGUAUUUAAGUUCUAAACAAGAAAGAAGUUUGUGAGCAGAGUUGAAGGUUGACUAAGUGACAGGGAAGGCGAGGCAAGUUGGUCAUGCAAGAUAGGCAAAAUAGGUUAGUUUAGGAUUUGGAGCAUAUGUGAGUAAUAAGGCCAGCUCACGGUUAGAUGACGUGAGGUGUGCGCCAAGGCCAUUUGGCAAGGCCUACAUGCGAGAAGGAUGCACACAACGUGCAAGGUGUCACACUCCAUCCCUCAAGCACCUCAACACGUUGCGUUACGUGGUAUGACUUGAGCAUUCUUGACGUUUUUAAAUGCUAAAAACCUUAGGUUAAGUCUUUAAGCCUUGCUUAAUCACCUAAUGACUUAACUUACAACUUGUAUCCUUAACUUAAGGCGAUAAAACAUAACUUGAUAUACUUUUUGAUAGAGAACCAUAACACAGCGGAAGGUAACAUAAACUUGAACUUUUAUUAGCUUAAACCAUGCAUUUUACAACAAACUUUACAAAUAAAGUCUUUUCAAAAUAACUUUAAACAUAAGCUAAACGCCUCGCCAAGCUUCCUUGUCUAGCAAAAUUAUAUCCGUUUUCCAACUUAGCUUUAACACAUGCUCUCCCCAACCUUAAUGCCUCAAACCUAGUGAAUGGAAACUUUGAAACAUAAGUCAAAAUACUUAGUAAGGUUUUAAGAGAAACCCUUUAGAAAUACAUUUCAUAAACAUCAUCAUUUCAUAUCAUCGCAUAAACAUACAAUAGUCUUGCAUUUCUUUCAUCGAGAACGUGAACCAUUUCGCACUUAAAGACUCAUCUCCUUGUGUUUAGACUACUCUGAUGGUCUUCUCAUUAACAACAUCUGAGAAUAUAAUUUCUUGGUUCAUUCCUCGUUGCUCAGACUGUCAAACACAAUACACAUCUUGUAUACAUUACCAGACUUUAUUUCACUAUGCAUGUCUUUUCUACAUGACCGCCUUUAACCUUAUAUGCAUAUAACAGUUAGCUCUUUUUAUAGAAAUUAAGACUAAUGCUUUAAAACAUAUUUUAUCAUUCAUUUUAGCACAAAACAUGGUUUUAAAAACAUAAUCAUUCAUUUCAAAUACUUUGAAAUCAUUAUUUACAAAUCUCAAAACACAGAGAAAAUGUUAAAAUAUACAAACACUUGAAAAAUAUCACUCACAAAAACUUGGUUUAUCCCUUCUCGCAGAACGCUUAGCUCACUUCUUCUUCUUCUUCUCGCCUAGAAGCAAUCCACAUAGUAACACUUCACUUCACAAAUUCUCAGAUUAAACUCGUAAAACAUUAUGGCUUCUUCCUCUAUUAUUUAUGCUAAUCUUAAAGCUAGAUUAGUCAUCUCAAAGCUUCUAAAAUAUUGUCAGAUCCCACGUAAGGCAUUACGAGCAUAAGCUUAAUACUUCACUUAAUUUUACUUUACUUUCAGCUUAACACAUAACUCAUGUCAAGUCAGAUUAGACAUCUCUUCGCCUGGUUUCUUGUUGCAUGGUACUUUGAUCAAAAUGCCUAAUAGACUUUAAACUCCUGAUGCCUUCUUGACUCGGGUCAUCCUAACACAAACUUCAACACGCAAGCUUCAACGCAAAACGCUCAUUCAACACUUAGUGUUUUGACCCUUCUAUUCCAAACACAAGUCUCAUAUAAGGCGUGCGACCAUGGUGUGCCCGACAAGCCAAGUGCAAUGUUAUCACGUGGCCAAGCUACUGAGAGCCUUGCAUGCGCGCGAGCCACCCAGUUGCCCAUGUCUUGCGCACUAGCCAUUCCAAAGGCCUUUUUUCAGUUGUUAUAUAUAUAUAUAUAGUCAUUUUUAGUAAAGUUUGGAUAUUUUCUAAAGUAAAGAGGUUAAUUAAGGCUUAAUUAUGAUUUUUCAAGGACAAAAAGAGUUAAAAGAGAAUUUCCAAGUCAAGCGGUUAAACUCUGAGUGAAUAAAAUUAAUUUCUAUGUUUAUUUAUGAACAUGAAUUUAAAGCUAAUAGUUUCCUUACAUGUUUGAAAUGCUUAUAAUAAUAGUUUAGUUAGUUUAUAUUUUAAUAUUGUUUAAUUUUAACUACUUUAUAAUCUAUUUUAUAGUCUAUUAUAGUUUUUUACCUAAAAAAACUACGGAUUUUAUUUUCUAUUAAUUUUUUUCAUUGUAAAUUUUUAAAAUAUAUUUUCCACAAGAGAUAGACACAAAUAGAAAUAAAAAUCAAAUGUAAUGAAUUUAGUCUUUUAGUUGUUUUUGAAUAGCGGGUAAAUAGUUUGUUUGUUUUUUUUUUUUCCAUUUUUGAAAAGACGGCUUUCCAUAAUCAUUAUUAUUAUUACCGUUUAAUCAAUUUCAUGGACUUAGUUUAUUAUUUAUUAAAAGUAUGUAAAUGAAAAUUCAAUCGUGUAUAAUACAAUAACUAGGUUAAACGAGUCUAUUUUUAUAAAUAUGAAAAUUAAAGAAAAAAAAAGAAGUAUGUUUUGAAUACUAAGGACGAAAUGGGUAUAUCUGUAAGAAGAAAGAAACGUUUUGAAAAUUUAGAAACAAAACAGGCAUGUUGAUUAAGACUUGACCAAUAUAAAGGUAAUUUUGUAUGAAUUUUUCCGUCCGUCAAGUUUCUUUAAGAUGAUGGUGUUUUUCAAGCAAAAUAUGAUGGUGUUUGGGAAGCUGUUGACAAGUCGUGUUGUAAGUACUUGAUUGAUUUUUUAUUAUGCAAACAUCCGUACGUUCUGACAGUAGUCCUUGUGAUGCCCGUGAAGAAAGAGAAGUUAGUAUAGAUAUGAAUUUAUUUCAAAAUAACAUUUUCAUUCAUAUGAAAUAAAUACAAAAUGAUGUGACGAAUCCUUGUAUGACAAUUACUUCUAGGAAUUUUAAUACAGUCAGGAACUUUAGGACAUGAUUCAAUUAUAUCCUUAGCAUUAACAAAAGUUUUCUUCAUAACUUUUUAAUUUCUGCAACUGUCUCAAAACAACCAUUUGUAUCAGCUUCUCCACUUCUCCAUUUAAAAUGGAUAUAAAAUUAUUGAAUAUGACGGAGGGAGUAACAUGUCCACAAGUUUUUAUUUGGAUUUAUUCUCGAACUUUUAGGGGUAAUUGGAACAUUCGUUUUAAGAACAUAACCUAUUUUAGUAAAAUUAUUUCAAAAGAUGUUAUUAAAAGUAGUUACAAAUUUAAUCAAAUUCCAUGGUCUAUGAUAGACAUUAAUAAAUAUUUAUCAGUGUUGAUAUGAAAAAAUUAUCAUUUAUUGACAAUGAUAUACACUAAUAAAUAUUUAUCAGUGUUGAUAUGAAAAGUUAUCAGUGAUAAAUGAUAAAUGANNNNNNNNNNNNNNNNNNNNNNNNNNNNNNNNNNNNNNNNNNNNNNNNNNNNNNNNNNNNNNNNNNNNNNNNNNNNNNNNNNNNNNNNNNNNNNNNNNNNNNNNNNNNNNNNNNNNNNNNNNNNNNNNNNNNNNNNNNNNNNNNNNNNNNNNNNNNNNNNNNNNNNNNNNNNNNNNNNNNNNNNNNNNNNNNNNNNNNNNNNNNNNNNNNNNNNNNNNNNNNNNNNNNNNNNNNNNNNNNNNNNNNNNNNNNNNNNNNNNNNNNNNNNNNNNNNNNNNNNNNNNNNNNNNNNNNNNNNNNNNNNNNNNNNNNNNNNNNNNNNNNNNNNNNNNNNNNNNNNNNNNNNNNNNNNNNNNNNNNNNNNNNNNNNNNNNNNNNNNNNNNNNNNNNNNNNNNNNNNNNNNNNNNNNNNNNNNNNNNNNNNNNNNNNNNNNNNNNNNNNNNNNNNNNNNNNNNNNNNNNNNNNNNNNNNNNNNNNNNNNNNNNNNNNNNNNNNNNNNACCCGUGUGCUGGGCCGGUUCAAGCCAAUAAAUUUGGUUUUUGGGCCGGUUCAAGCGGUUUCGGUUGGUUUUUUUAGCCGGUUCGAAGUUUUUGGGAGUGGUUCUGUACUACACCGAAUUAAUUAUGUAAUAAUUUAGCACUUAGCUUAAUUUAGGAGCCAAAAAUCAGUCCAUUUUAGGGUGUUUUUUUUAUUUAUGCAUGUGAUGUAUGAUUAAAUUACUUUAAAUUUGUAUGUGCAUUUUGAAUGUCAUAUAGAUUUAAAAUCCCACCAUAGGUUAACAUGUUCAUGCAUUAAAAUGUAUGAUAUAAAGGUUAUAUUGUAUUGUAUGCAUGUUAAUUGAUUAAUAUGGAAAUUAAUUAAUAUGAUUAAUUAAUUAUUUAAUUAAUUAAGUUAUUCUUGAUUAAAUAUGAUUUAAUCAAAUUAAUUAAUUAUUGUUUGAUUUAAUUUAAUUAAAUAUGAUUUAAUUAAAGUUAAAUAAAUUAAAAUCCAUAUUAAUUGAUUGUUUUUAUAUUAUAUAUUGAUAAAAUGAUUGAUUAAGUUUAAAAGUUUUUAUAAGUGUUAUAAAAUAAAUUAGACUUUUAAAAUCAAUAACAAAGAUUAAAUGCAUGCUCACUUAGGUUAAACAUAUCUUCCAUUUUUCAUAGAAAUAGGUCGAUAUCUUGUAAAACUGGUUACAAAAGGCUCACCUGGUUCAAUCUUGUCAACAAGUCAGAUAAGAUGACUAAGGUUGGAGGUUCUUAAGUUGACGGUUUACGGAACACCUCCUACCUGGAGAUCGUAAUCAGUUCUUGAGCCUAGUUAACCUAGUUUUAUGAGCAUUCGUGAGAGGUGUGAGGUAAUAAAAAUGGUUUUUCACCUAGACAUCAUAGGUUAAAAUCCUGUAUAAUGGUUAUACUUGGAUGUUUUAUCUAGACUUAAGAUUUGUUUAAGUUAGCCUAAAUAUAAAUCUUGAAGUUUGGAUUACCCUAUUUUUUUCUUUUAGAACACUUCAACUAGAGAAAAAUAAUGUAUUUUAGCUCUAGUGUCCCUAAGAGUUCACACCGUGAGGUCCAUGCAGGGCUUUGUGCCGUGCAUAGGAGCGGCCUCCCUUCGGAGAGUGUUUGCAUGGAUCAAAAUCAAGGUGAAUAGGGGAAGUAGUUCAUAGUAAGUGGGUGAGGGAUUUGUGGCAGCACAUCCCACGGUCUCUUCCAUUAGGUCGCACCGUGAGAUUUCUAUAAUAUGCCUGCUUGUCUGCCCUGGAGCGACGUUCCCUUCGGAGGGUUGUAUUAUAGGAUUCGGAACACCGCGAACUCCAAAACUGGAUAGGAUUUCUUAGAUUAGUUUUCAUAAAUGAUUCUAAUCUAUGAAAUCUGAAAAUGGUGGGUAACACUUACAAGAAUUACUAAGUUGUUAGUAUAUUCUUGACUAAAGUAGCGAUAACUAAGUGCUAUAAAGAAUAAAGAGUUAUUCUUGAGAUAGCAUCUAGUCAAGAUUGUCUUGGUUCAAAGGAGGAAUAAUCAACUACCCUUCGGAGAAGGUUGUUCUAAACCUUUGAAAUAUUGUUGCAAAAUACAAAUAAUGAAAGGGUACAUUAUUAGUAAUUGCUAAAUUAGAUUGGAUAUUUUUUAUGAUUAUAGUUUUUUCCUAAAAGGAAUAUGUUUGUUUUUCAGCAUGAAUAGCUCAAUAGUUCGACUUUUAGCUUCCGAAAAACUUAAUGGCGAUAAUUAUGCGGCUUGGAAAUCAAAUCUUAACACAAUACUAGUGGUUGGUGAUUUAAGAUUUGUCUUAACUGAGGAAUGUCCUCAAAACCCUGCCUCUAAUGAUAACCGAACUAGUCGGGAUGCAUAUGAUCGAUGGAUAAAAGCUAAUGAAAAAGCCGUGUCUACAUUCUUGCCAGCAUGUCUGAUGUAUUGGCAAAGAAACAUGAAUCCUUAGCCACGGCUAAAGAGAUUAUGAAUUCAUUAAGGGGAAUGUUUGGGCAACCAGAAUUGUCCUUAAGACACGAGGCAGUCAAAUACAUUUACACUAAGCGUAUGAAGGAAGGGACCUCUGUUAGAGAACAUGUUCUUGACAUGAUGAUGCACUUCAACAUCGCUGAAGUGAAUGGUGGUCCCAUCGAAGAGGUUAAUCAAGUUAGUUUUAUCUUAGAGUCUCUUCCGAAGAGCUUCAUUCCAUUCCAAACGAAUGCGUCUUUGAACAAGAUAGAAUUUAACUUGACAACCCUUCUGAAUGAACUCCAGCGAUUCCAAAACCUUACUAUGGGUAAAGGAAAACAAGUGGAAGCAAAUGUUGCUACCACAAAAAGAAAAUUUAUAAGAGGAUCGUCCUCUAAAACCAAAGCUGGACCCUCAAAACCUAAUGCUCAAAUAAAAAAGAAGGGAAAGGGAAAGACUCCCAAACAGAACAAGGGUAAGAAAAAGGUGCAGAAAAGGUAAGUGUUACCAUUGUGGCCAAAACGGGCACUGGUUAAGAAAUUGCCCAAAAUACCUUGCAGAAAAAAAGGCAGAGAAGGAAACACAAGGUAAAUAUGAUUUACUAGUUGUAGAAACAUGUUUAGUGGAAUAUGAAAAUUGUACCUGGAUACUAGAUUCAGGAGCCACUAAACCAUAUUUGCUUCUCAUUUCAGGAAAAUAGUUCUUGAAAAAGCUUUCAGAAGGCGAGAUCACUCUCAAGGUUGGAACAGGAGAGAUGGUCUCAACUUCAGCAAUGGGAGAUUUAAAGUUGUUUUUUAGAGAUAGAUAUGUCAUACUUAAGAAUGUCUUAUAUGUACCUCAAAUGAAAAGAAAUUUAAUAUCUAUCUCUUGUAUUUUGGAACAAAUGUAUAGAAUAUCUUUUGAAAUUAAUGAAGCGUUCGUUUUCUAUAAAGGUAUUCUAGUUUGUUCUGCUAUACUUGAAGACAACUUAUAUAAGUUAAGACCAACCAGAGCAAAUUUUGUCUUAAAUACUGAAAUAUUCAGAACAGCUGAAACUCAGAAUAAAAGACAAAAAGUUUCUUCUAAUGCCUAUUUAUGGCACUUAAGACUUGGUCACAUAAAUCUCAAUAGGAUUGGGAGAUUAGUUAAAAGUGGGCUUCUAAAUCAGUUAGAAAAUAAUACUUUACCUCUUGUGAAUCUUGUCUUGAAGGAAAAAUGACCAAGAGAUCUUUUACUGGAAAAGGUCUAAGAGCCAAAACCCUUAGAGCUCGUACAUUCGGACCUUUGUGGACCAAUGAAUGUCAAAGCUCGAGGUGGAUAUGAAUAUUUCAUUAGCUUCAUUGAUGAUUAUUCAAGGUAUGGUCAUAUUUACCUAAUACAUCAUAAGUCUAAUAGUCUUGAAAAGUUCAAAGAAUAUAAGGCUGAAGUAGAAAACGAAUUAGGUAAAACAAUAAAAAUACUUCGAUCAGAUCGAGGUGGAGAGUAUAUGGACUUACGAUUCCGAGACUAUUUAAUAGAAAAUGGAAUCCAGUCACAACUCUCUGCACCUAGUACACCUCAACAGAACGGUGUAUCAGAAAGAAGAAACUGGACCUUGUUAGACAUGGUUCGCUCUAUGAUGAGUUUUUCUCAGAUGUCAGAUUCUUUUUGGGAUAUGCUUUAGAAACAGCUGCUUAUAUUUUGAAUAAUGUUCCCUCUAAAAGUGUUUCAGAAACACCUUAUGAGCUAUGGAAAGGGCGUAAAGGCAGUUUACGUCAUUUUAGAAUUUGGGGUUGUCCAGCACACGUGUUGGUACAAAAUCCUAAGAAAUUGAAACAUCGUUCAAAAUUAUGCUUUUUCAUAGGUUAUCCAAAAGAAUCAAGAGGUGGUUUGUUUUAUGAUCCUCAAGAAAAUAAAAUAUUUGUGUCAACAAAUGCCACAUUCUUAGAGGAAGACCACAUCAGGGAUCAUCAACCUCGUAGUAAACUAGUAUUAAAAGAAAUUUCCAAAAGUGCUAUAGAUAAACCUAGUUCAUCCACUAAGGUAGUUGAUAAGACUAGGAAAUCUGGUCAAUCACAUCCUUCUCAACAGUUGAGAGAGCCUCGACGUAGUGGGAGGGUUGUUCAUCAGCCUGAUCGCUAUUUGGGUUUAAUUGAAACUCAAGUCGUCAUACCUGACGAUGGCAUAGAGGAUCCAUUAACCUAUAAACAGGCAAUGAAAGAUGUAGAUCGUGACCAAUGGAUCAAAGCCAUGGACCUCGAAAUGGAGUCUAUGUACUUUAAUUCUGUCUGGACUCUAGUAGAUCAACCAAAUGACGUAAAACCUAUUGGUUGUAAAUGGAUCUACAAGAGAAAACGAGACCAUGCCGGUAAAGUACAGACUUUCAAGGCUCGACUUGUGGCAAAGGGUUAUACCAGAGAGAGGGAGUAGACUAUGAGGAAACUUUCUCUCCUGUUGCCAUGUUAAAGUCAAUUAGAAUACUCUUAUCCAUCGCCACUUUUUAUGAUUAUGAAAUUUGGCAGAUGGAUGUCAAGACAGCUUUUUUGAACGGUAAUCUUGAAAGAGUAUCUAUAUGUCUCAACCAGAGGGGUUUAUAAAACAAGAUCAAGAACAAAAGGUUUGUAAGCUUAAAAAAUCCAUUUAUGGAUUAAAACAAGCUUCUAGAUCCUGGAAUAUAAGAUUUGAUAUUGCGAUCAAAAUCUUAUGGCUUUGAACAAAAUGUUGACGAGCCUUGUGUUUACAAAAGGUCGUCAAUUCCAUUAUAGCAUUUUUUAGUCUUAUAUGUAGAUGAUAUUCUACUUAUUGGAAAUGACGUAGGAUAUCUUACUGAUAUCAAGAAAUGGCUAGCUAUGCAAUUUCAAAUGAAAGAUCUGGGAGAUGCACAAUACGUUCUCGGAAUCCAAAUUGUUCGAAACCGUAAGAACAAAACACUAGCCAUGUCUCAAGCAUCUUACAUAGACAAAAUGUUGUCUAGAUAUAAAAUGCAGAAUUCCAAAAAGGGUCUGCUGCCGUACAGAUAUGGAAUUCAUUUGUCAAAGGAACAAUGUCCUAAGACACCUCAAGAAGUUGAGGAUAUGAGAAAUAUUCCCUAUGCUUCCGCUGUUGGAAGUUUAAUGUAUGCAAUGUUAUGUACUAGACCUGACAUUUGCUACUCAGUAGGGAUGGUCAGUAGGUAUCAAUCCAAUCAUGGACGUGAUCACUGGACAGCCGUUAAAAACAUUCUACAUGCUCAUGUAUCGUACAAAGGAUCUGAUCCUUACUGGAUACACUGAUUCAGAUUUCCAAACUAAUAAAGAUGUUAGAAAGUCUACAUCAGAUCAGUAUUUACUCUAAAUGGAGGAGCAGUAGUUUGGAGAAGCAUAAAGCAAACUUGUAUAGCUGAUUCCACAAUGGAAGCUGAUCAUUUUACAAAAGCCCUCACGGCUAAAGUGUUUGAGGGUCACCUACACAGUUUAGGUGUACGAUGUUUGUAAACUAGGACAAGUGGGAGACUUAUUGGCCAUGUGCCCUAGUUUCAUAUAUAUUCUCUCACACCACAUCUCUCAUACCACUAGGAAUUUUAGUCCAAGUGGGAGUUUGUUGGAAUUUUUUGUCCUAAAACUCGUAGUUUGUAAAUCAUAUUCUAUUCAAUAAAGUUGUUAUUGAGAAAUUAAAUAUUAUAAUCUUAAAUCCAAUAAAUCAAAGUUCCAAGGCUAUUUUUUGAAUAAACUUGAACUUUAUGUGUAAACAUAAACGUGGAUCAAGUUCGAGUAUAUAGCCUAAAUAGUCUAUAGUAUAUGAAAUAAAGGUUGGGCGCCUUAUUUGAGAGACUAUGGAUGCGGCCCACUUUGUAGUACAAACGAUGUGAUCCUAAUCGUUCAUGUAGAGACAUGAAAGUGGGGGCAUCCUAUGUAAAAUGUUUACAUAAGACUGAACCAUGAAUUAGUCAUUUUUACGUUAUAACACCGUUUACUGUUUAAAACUGACUAUCUCAAUUAUUGAUGACCUAGGUAACUUAGUCUUAAUCCUGAGUUAACUAUGAACUCCUGUUCAUACGAGAUUAUCCUUAGAUCUGCAUAGGUGAGGGCAGCUCAUCAGCGUUGGCCCAAUAAGCCUCCCAUUUCAGGGGUAAGAUCGGGUGGAUAGCUGGGAACAUAGGGUACAAGAUGGAAUUCACUCCUACCCGCUUUAGGGUUAGUAGAUAGGUUGCUCUCUUAAGCACUGAAUCCAAGUCUUGAACAAGGGGCCCCACCCUCUCAUUGGCCCGAGAGGGAUUAAGUUUAUAGGUUGAACCUUAAACCAAUUGUUCAAUAGUGGAUUAGUGGGACUUAAGGAGCAAGAUGUAAUCUUGGGGGUAAAACGGUAUUUUGACCCAGCCAAGGUUACGAGCAACCUGUGAAGGAUUAACUUACUGAUUAUGGUUUUAUCAAAUGGACACAAAUAUAUCUAUAGUGAGGGGAGUGCAACUACGGGACUUUAGUGGAAUGACCCGUUAGUUAACGAAUGUUGAUUAACUCGGUUUAAAAGAGUUUAGCUAGUUAAUCUUGAAUCGUUGGAGCCCAUGAUCUAUAGGUCCAUUAGGUUCCUCUGCUAGCUCAUAUGGAUUAAACUUAGAACAGUGUGAUGAAAUAAGUCGAAUUGUUCGAAUAGGGAGAAGAAAGGAAACCGACAUAUACAGUGAUAUAAUCGUCGGUCUUCUAAUUAGAAAUAGAGCUUUAUGUUUUACAUACUAUAAGUAUGAAUGCGGAUUCAUACUAAGAAGCUCGGAAUUGGUCAAAAAUAGUAAAAAGUCAAAAUGUUGACUUUUGACUUUGAAAAGUCAAACUUUUGACCGGCCUUAUAUUCAAAUGUGAUUUGAAUUUUGGAAAAAUGAAUGCGGAUUCAUGCUCGGGAGGUUGGAAUUAGUCAAGACGGACAAAAUGGUAAAAGUCAAAAUAUUGACUUUUGACUUAGAAAAGUCAAAGUUUGACUUUGGACUAGAAAAAUCUAAUGACAUUUUACCCUUGGACUAAGUUAGUGGGAAAAUCCAACAUUUUGUUGGAUAAUCCACUAACUCUUAGUGGGAUAUGUGGCUAUAUGAGAUAUAGACACCUAGCCCACUAAGUUCCACUAAUUGUUAGUGGAAUAUUAGGUGUUGAGAUUUGGCAAUUGAAUUGCAUGCAUUUUUGCAUGUAAUUAGGCUAUAAAUAGAGAUGUUUUCAAAUGUUGAAGGACUUUUGCCUCUUUUAUCAUUUUCAUAAUCUCAACAAAAGAAGAAAAAAACUUCCAAUCUCAUUUUAUCUCCAUUAUUUUCUACACCAAAAUUGGGUCCCACAACCCGGUUCUUUGUCUAGAGGAUAGCAGUUGAGUACUAGUGGUGGUCUCGGGUAGAAUUGGUAAGAAGACAUCAAACCUUUUGUAAGCUUCAAAGGUAAUACUUCUUAAAACCCUAAUUUGAUUAGUUUAUGGUUACAUGUUAAUUGUGGCAAUUAGGGUAGAAAUUCGAUUCUUUUUCCGCUGUGCAUGACUUAGUUCUAUCAGGAGAAAUCUAAACGUAUACAAAUAUUUCCAUUGAUCCAAUUGUGCAUAACGUGUUUUCCAAGGCAAUCAAUGUUUUUCCUUCAAUAUGCACAUUUAACAUCAUAUAAAGCAUUGCAAACAUAUGAUUGGAUUGUUCCUAAAUUAAAGACACGUUUAAAAGUUCAGAAACCAUGUAUAAGAACGCACAUACAAGAGUUUACACACUGUGUGAAAUUCGAUUGCAACUAGUGUGGGAGAUGUAGAGAAAAAGAUAUGAGAUUUUUCUUGAUCCCUUCAAUUAUGUUUUAUUUUAUAUAAAUAACAUUUGAAACUAUAUGCAAUGGCAUGCUCUAGCUAAACCAUGCAUUAAUAUUUCAUUUCAAAAUAUCUUUUCUAGUUCCAAGGAAAGCACAUAUUAUAAGUUCCAGUGUCUUUUGGGUGCAUCAAACAAGGGCCAUCUCGAUAAAUUUCCCACGAGCAAUUAGUGCAACGAUUCAUGUCCCUGUGAAAGUUAUAGAUGGUGAAGUUGUGCAUCUCGCCUUGCACAAAUUCAAAGCCGCAAGUAAAUUCUGUUGUGCCCCAAAUAUUAGGUUUAAAGUGAAAGGAGUAACUACGUCCAGACUCAAGGGAAUGGACUCCCAAGUCAUCGUCCUUUGACCUACAGUGAACGCCUAGCACUGGGCCAGCCAAUUUAUUAAUAGUGGUCACUGUUGUUUCAGGUGGACCAAUUGAGAUUAAUUCUUCAUCAGCAUAUAGCGUGAUGAAAAGUAUUUGUAAAACCAAGAAUGCAAGUGCCAACGAGGAAUUCAUUAUGCUUUCGAAUCGAGAGAGAAAGAUAAGUAAUGUCCAAAGGACUAUGCUUUUCUUUUGUUGUUGGACACAAUGGAAUGUUUCGAAACAUCACACAGACAUAUAUAGGAGAGUAAAGGAAUACAAAUCUUUUUUCAAAUGGUUAAAUGGUAAUUUUGUGAUCGUUAUGCAACUUUUCAUUUUAGAAGCAGGAACCGCGAUAGUUUGAAUCAAAUGGUGAAAGAGCGCAUUAAACAACUACAUAUUGGUAGUGACAUUCCACAAUUAAUAAAAGAAAAAGAAAAUAAGUUGUAAAACAAUUCACGAAAUGAUUGUUAUGUUUAACCACAUGAGGUUAAUUUUUACAUCCCAACUCAACACUAUUCCUUUUCCGUUUGUUUUGUCUUCUCUUUUUCUUCAAGUUACGUACUAAUAAGGAUGGUUGGAAGACAAUAAAUUAGGGAAAGAGUGUGGGUUUAGGUUACAUUUCAGCAUUUAGUUAAAUUAUAGGUUGAUACGCUUUUUAAUUUGUAUUGUGUAUAUACAAAAUAACAUAUCUUGUUGUUGGUAUUUUAUUAAUGCCACAUCAAAUUUCUAAUUAGGAGAUUCUUCAACCUGUAUGUUUAGUUAGUCCGUGCUUGGAUUGGAAUGUUGGGUUGAUUAAUUUAAAUCUUAAAAUAAUAAUUGUAUCGAUUUAAAUCCUAAACUUCGCCGGGUGUAUCAAUUUAAACCUCAACUAAACUAAUAAUAGUAUCGAUUUGAACAUUGCACUUCAAUUAGUCUAUCAUUCACCUCCUCUUCAACUUCUUCCCCCCCUCUUCCUCCCCUUACCAUCAUGCAAACGUUUAACAUGAAACAUCUUUACCAACACAUUUUUCAAUGUGCAUCACUCAAGCAAAAUGAAAUACAUCGUCCGACAUAAAAGAUAGGUGGUAACUUAAUUAUUUCCAUUAGAUGUUGUUCACCAUCACAUUCGAUUAAUAUAUAUGUAUAUACAUAAACGAUCUGUAACUGUGUGCUUGCUUGCCAAUAUUUUCCUUCGCUGCCUUGUGGGGCAUAAAACAAAAUAUUUUGAGGUUACACCAAAACGGUCUAGUGAGUGGAGGUUUUCAUCAACACAUUUAAUAGAACACACUCUCGCCAUAACGCAUUACAAAAGUUCUUUCCACAACACCACGCAAUAUAAAUAAGUACGCAUUUCAAUAGAAAUAUGAGUUUAAAUUGGAAAAUCAUUCCGCUGCGUUUGGCGAUUUACACAUUCAAAUCUCAUUGGCAAAUAUUCAUAGCAACCCAUUUCCUUGCAAAUUCAUUUCAUCAUAAAAUCACAUCGCAUGGGAGAGCAUUUCGCAUAACAAUUUCCAUCUUUCGUACCAUGCUAAGCUCAAGAGUCAACACGCUCUUAUCGCUGAGUUGCAGCUGUACGGAGAAAUCUAAACGUAUACAAAUAUUUCCAUUGAUCCAAUUGUGCAUAACGUGUUUUCCAAGGCAAUCAAUGUUUUUCCUUCAAUAUGCACAUUUAACAUCAUAUAAAGCAUUGCAAACAUAUGAUUGGAUUGUUCCUAAAUUAAAGACACGUUUAAAAGUUCAGAAACCAUGUAUAAGAACGCACAUACAAGAGUUUACACACUGUGUGAAAUUCGAUUGCAACUAGUGUGGGAGAUGUAGAGAAAAAGAUAUGAGAUUUUUCUUGAUCCCUUCAAUUAUGUUUUAUUUUAUAUAAAUAACAUUUGAAACUAUAUGCAAUGGCAUGCUCUAGCUAAACCAUGCAUUAAUAUUUCAUUUCAAAAUAUCUUUUCUAGUUCCAAGGAAAGCACAUAUUAUAAGUUCCAGUGUCUUUUGGGUGCAUCAAACAAGGGCCAUCUCGAUAAAUUUCCCACGAGCAAUUAGUGCAACGAUUCAUGUCCCUGUGAAAGUUAUAGAUGGUGAAGUUGUGCAUCUCGCCUUGCACAAAUUCAAAGCCGCAAGUAAAUUCUGUUGUGCCCCAAAUAUUAGGUUUAAAGUGAAAGGAGUAACUACGUCCAGACUCAAGGGAAUGGACUCCCAAGUCAUCGUCCUUUGACCUACAGUGAACGCCUAGCACUGGGCCAGCCAAUUUAUUAAUAGUGGUCACUGUUGUUUCAGGUGGACCAAUUGAGAUUAAUUCUUCAUCAGCAUAUAGCGUGAUGAAAAGUAUUUGUAAAACCAAGAAUGCAAGUGCCAACGAGGAAUUCAUUAUGCUUUCGAAUCGAGAGAGAAAGAUAAGUAAUGUCCAAAGGACUAUGCUUUUCUUUUGUUGUUGGACACAAUGGAAUGUUUCGAAACAUCACACAGACAUAUAUAGGAGAGUAAAGGAAUACAAAUCUUUUUUCAAAUGGUUAAAUGGUAAUUUUGUGAUCGUUAUGCAACUUUUCAUUUUAGAAGCAGGAACCGCGAUAGUUUGAAUCAAAUGGUGAAAGAGCGCAUUAAACAACUACAUAUUGGUAGUGACAUUCCACAAUUAAUAAAAGAAAAAGAAAAUAAGUUGUAAAACAAUUCACGAAAUGAUUGUUAUGUUUAACCACAUGAGGUUAAUUUUUACAUCCCAACUCAACACUAUUCCUUUUCCGUUUGUUUUGUCUUCUCUUUUUCUUCAAGUUACGUACUAAUAAGGAUGGUUGGAAGACAAUAAAUUAGGGAAAGAGUGUGGUUUAGGUUACAUUUCAGCAUUUAGUUAAAUUAUAGGUUGAUACGCUUUUAAUUUGUAUUGUGUAUAUACAAAAUAACAUAUCUUGUUGUUGGUAUUUUAUUAAUGCCACAUCAAAUUUCUAAUUAGGAGAUUCUUCAACCUGUAUGUUUAGUUAGUCCGUGCUUGGAUUGGAAUGUUGGGUUGAUUAAUUUAAAUCUUAAAAUAAUAAUUGUAUCGAUUUAAAUCCUAAACUUCGCCGGGUGUAUCAAUUUAAACCUCAACUAAACUAAUAAUAGUAUCGAUUUGAACAUUGCACUUCAAUUAGUCUAUCAUUCACCUCCUCUUCAACUUCUUCCCCCCCUCUUCCUCCCCUUACCAUCAUGCAAACGUUUAACAUGAAACAUCUUUACCAACACAUUUUUCAAUGUGCAUCACUCAAGCAAAAUGAAAUACAUCGUCCGACAUAAAAGAUAGGUGGUAACUUAAUUAUUUCCAUUAGAUGUUGUUCACCAUCACAUUCGAUUAAUAUAUAUGUAUAUACAUAAACGAUCUGUAACUGUGUGCUUGCUUGCCAAUAUUUUCCUUCGCUGCCUUGUGGGGCAUAAAACAAAAUAUUUUGAGGUUACACCAAAACGGUCUAGUGAGUGGAGAUUUUCAUCAACACAUUUAAUAGAACACACUCUCGCCAUAACGCAUUACAAAAGUUUUUUCCACAACACCACGCAAUAUAAAUAAGUACGCAUUUCAAUAGAAAUAAUUCCCAAAAAAGAAUGAAUAGUUAGUUAUAAAGAAAGCUAAAGUGUAGACAAAAGAAGUGUUGUGUUUUUAACAUUUUUAAUACAUAACACAUAUAUAUACAUAUAUUGAUCUAACUUUUGAAUUAGAAGAGUAUAUAUAUAACAAGAUCAAAAUAAAUUAGGAUUUGAAGUAUCACACCAUAUAUGUACAAAAUAAUCAAACAACAACAAUAUUGUAAUUAGAGUUAUAUAUUAUAUUAUGAUCACUAUCAACUCAAAUGAUUUAGCAUCUAAAUUUGUUUAUCACAUAAAAUGAGUUUCGCAAUAGAUGGGAAUUAACAAUUAUUUACUCACCUGUGAAGAACAAAUGACCGUUGAAAAGGUCAAAAUAUCCAAUUAUACGUCUUUAAAUCUUGUUCGAUCAAUCUAGUUAAAUUCAAUUUACAAGCAUAUAUACAUAUAUAAUAGGGAGAAAUUCAAAGUUUGAAACAUAAAUUUAAUUAAUUAAAACAAGUUUUUCAAAAGAGUUUACAACAAACUUUACCUUUAAAAGGAGUUUGAUAAAGGACUUCAAGCGUGAAAGUCCAAAAUCACAAACCUAAAUAAAAUACCACCAGAUAUGUACCACAUUAAUUGAUCAAAGCAAACACACACACUAGAGAGAGGGAGUAGGAAAAUGGGAAGGAACUAGCACCAUCACUAAGAAAAUGAUUUAAGUAUCAACAAAAAGUCAAUAUUCUCCAAGUAAAAACAUGAUAACUAAUCAUAAAGAAUUAUGAUUAUGUUUUAACUAAUCAAAAUUUUAUUCAAAUGGUCUUAUCCCCUACCUCAAAAGAAAGUUAACUAAUAAAAUUAGAACCAUUAAAAUAAAAUCUAGUUCACCAGGAUUCCACUAUAAUAACAUUCUAAAAUGAUUUCCUCCUAUGUACAUUCAAUAAUCAAGAUUUCCUCCAAUGGGCAUUUCAUCAAACAAUUGGUGGGCAACACAAAAGAAAGAAUAUUCAUUUACUUAAUGGCAGCCAGAAAUCUAGAAAAAUUAAGGAAUAAAUACAAAAAUUUGUGAAGAACAUGUCUUAGAUGCAAUGUUGAGAAUUGAGUUUCAAGUUUAAUUGAAAAAAUUGACAGGAGCAAGAACUCGAUUCUUCUUAAAUUUCGACCAUGGGAUUUUGUGUCCAGAAACCACUUUGCAAUCUAGCAAAUAGCCUAAAGCUUUAUUCAAAUGCUAUAAAACUAUCUUUUUUAGGAUGACUUACUCAAAGAAAAGUACAGAGAGUAACGAUUCAAAACCUUUCAACCCUUUCUC
This 58020-nucleotide long non-coding RNA is filed under the name Cucumis sativus (cucumber). RNAcentral describes it as "long non-coding RNA (CSAT_LNC001468)". The record is from RNAcentral. Lineage: Eukaryota; Viridiplantae; Streptophyta; Magnoliopsida; Cucurbitales; Cucurbitaceae.